UUUAAAGUCUUUCAACUUUAUGUUGUAAAAUAACAUUUUUAUUAUUCAAUUCAUGAGUUUUCCUUCUGUAACACAUCCUUCUCAUUAGCUGGAAGUGCAAAUUUUUUAGGCUUUUCCUUAUGGCCUCUUUUUCUUCUCUAAAUAAAAUGGCAUUUUGUUUCCCUCCUGUGAGGUACAACGUUUAUGUUCAAACUUUCUGUUAGUUAAGUUGGUUGUCUUUGAUAUAGGGAACUUCCAGUUGAACUGAUUUGUAAUUCGAGUAUAUGAGAUUACCAACUGUAUUGGGAAUUGAUGCCAAAUUAAUUAUGUCAUCAGGUUUUUCAAUCAGCGUUCAUCAUUUAUUUCUAUUAACAGUUAAUAGCACAGCUUGUCUUCUCAGCUUCAUUGAUUCCUCUAAAAAAUAAUCUUGUAAAGACAAUUUUUUUUUUUUUUUUUGGCGUGGUAAAUGCUAGAUAGUUUGUGGUCUGAAUGAUACUAAUAAUUGCCCAAAUUGCCAUGUAACAAGGAGUGUUGCAUAGUGAUGUCAUGCUCACAGGUACCACUCAUCAACAUGGCCAACGCUUUCGAUGCAGUCAUUAUUAUGGAAAUUCAAGAGUUCUCCUCCUAAGAGGUCUCUCUCUCGUUCUCUUAAUUUCCUUAUUCUGUUUUGGAAGUAAUGUAAUGGGAAAAUAGCAUUUAAUUUCCUUGUGUGUGACAUUUUCUUCUAUAAAUGCUAUAAAAUAUCUUUUUUUUUCAUCAUUGAUAUGUAUUACACAAUCAGAAGACUACUCGUAUUUAUAUGAAACAUCUACUUUAUGGCACAGUUCAGAUUUUUAUCCUUAUAAAUAUUGGAGGGAUAUCUUUAUGUUUCUUCUGUGAUAACGUUUCUGCGUGCUGCAACCUUUUUAUUAGAUUGAUAGAAUGUGAAUACAAGGAAAUUCUGUUUGAUAAUCUCGGCAAACCAGGAUUAAUAUGAAAUGGAGCGUCAUCAACAAAUACUUAGCAUAUUGCUGACUAUGAUUUGUUCUCCUCCCCUCAUUCUUUUUGUGAGUAGAAUUGGAUUGUGAAACUUGUUAUGUCAGCACAAGUGUUCUUACAAGUUGACGUAAAAUACACUGACUUGAAAUAAUGGCAUGGUAAUUGGUAUAGAUAAGCUAGCAUGAGUAUAUUUUGUCACCAAUUUCGCCAACCGCGUCUGGGUGUGGAAAUUAUAUUGCAUUUCUAAUGUCAUUUGAAAGAAAAACUUGCAAAAUUUGUAAUUUGUUAAAUCUGAACCGUGGUUCACAUCUACUCUUCCCGAACUUGAGUCAUAUGAUUCAAUUUUUUAGUGGGCAUGGCGAGAUAGAUUUCUACCAAGCCCAACCCAUUUAUCUACCCUUUUGUAAUUUUCUAUCAUGCAUAUAUUUAUAUUUUUGUAUAGUUAAUAUCUAAUUAUUUAUGUAUUUUUAUCGAAUAACUACUAAUUAUAUUUUUCUAAAAAAUCGGCAUGAAAAGUUCAACUUAAUAUUGAAUUAAAUUUUGAUAAGUAUAUGUCAAAUGUUUGGAAUUCUUUUUCUAGUCUUCAUGAUUGAUUAAUUGGAAAAUAAAUGUGUAUGUAUUAAAAUGGUAUUGGAUAAACAUGCCCCUAUCACCCAAGUUUUCCUUUGGAUAAUUUCCUAACUUGCAAGUUGAUAUCGAUGUUUAAAAAGAACCAAAAAAAAAAAAAAAAAAAUACAUUGAAAUCUUUAUAAAUUACUUCUUGACCUAAUAGUUGACACUUUCUCACCUUAUUCUUGAGGUUGAAGGUUUGAAUUUUCUUAUGUGGAUUUUAGGUGAACUACAGAAAAACAGCUUAUAUGAGACAUUUUCAAAAUAAGUAUGAAUGUGGUACUUAUUCAUCAGAUGGACAUAUUAAUGACGUGAUAAAUUCGUGUUAUGUAAAUUUUCCAGACUGUAUAUUUAUAUUAUAAUAUUAAAUAAAUAAAUAAGAAGAAAGAAAGGAAAAUGCAGCUUCCAAAUUUUUUCAUAGAUUGGCUAUAUGCACAAACAGCAAAUCAAAACAAAAAGAAAGGAUGUGACAUGACCUUACUUCCUGUUAUCCCAGUUAUGGAAUUCAAGUCAAUCUUUGAAGUAAUGCACUUUUAUUACUCUAUGACAGAGACAGGUCCAAGUCUUUCUUCCAAAUUCAUAAUCUUCAACAUUUCUCCAACCAAUCAAGCAAGGCUAGAGAUAGGUAACAUACAUUUUGAUGUACAUUUGGCUUUUGUAUCAUCUACUUCACUAGUGAUCCAUUAAAUGGAUCCACCAUUAACGUAAAUGCUAGUUUAACUAUUGACAGUGGAGCAAGUAUGUAUGUGGUCCCUACGCACAAGCAUACACGCCCAUUAAAGCAUUUACUCUCCUCAUCAUUGGAUAUGAAUUUUGUGAACUAUAUAUCUUUUUGGGGGUUUCAUUUAUCUUUCCGGUCUCUUAUGAUCAUUCACGGCUCCUGCUGCUGCUUCUUAUUGGCUCUUUGACAUCCUCUGUCUUGUUCUUGCUGUGUGUGUCAGCCACUAGCAACUGCUUCAAGCAAUGUGAGUUUGUUGCGUGAGCUUCCGUUUUGGUUAUUUUCAAUUAUUAUUUUUGUUGAUGGGUUUGUGAUUUUGUGCUGUAUUAUUACAGGAUUACACUGUUUAUAUGGAAGAGAGAAGAUAUGAUGAGCCUUAGCUGGUUCAGGAUUCGGACCAUCAGAUUCUUUCGGAUAUUCUUGGAAGGUUUAUAUUUCAAUCUCUUUAGCCGAAUUUACCUAUUAUAUUUUUAUCAUAUAAACGCUAUGCAAAAUGUUUAUGUUAAUGUAUGGCGAAAAUUGAAAAAUGGAAAAUAAAAAUAUUUGUGCUGCUUUCACUAUUUAUCUAUGUUAAUCUGUUUGAUAAAAUGAAGUGGAUGUCAUUAUUUCCAUGCAUCAGUAAUUACAAUCCAUAUUAUGCUCUUGCUAGUCUGUGCUCCAUUUGAACAUCGCAACGAACUUAUUUACUUACAUAUAUUUUGUGCUUUCUGGUUGGAAAUUGGAAGUUUUAACCAAUUUCUGAUCAGAAACAGCCCUUUUGAGUGCUAUGGCAGAAACCGCAGACGCGGCCUAACCUUCAUUUUUAAUUUGUAUCAAUUGGUAGUUUUUUAUAACUCUCUCUUUUCCCCUCUAUCAAUAAUGAAUGGUAUUCGCUAGAGAAACCGUAAGGGGACUAAUCAUUGUGAAAAGCACUAGGUGAUAACUAGCAGUUUCAAUUUGACAGCAAAGAAGCUGCUAAGGAAUCAAUUCUCUGUACAGCCACAAGCAUGGUUUUUCUGGAUUUGCCGCAGUCUUAACAGUCUCAAGCCAAGUUAACUGCAGGUGUUAUAAUGUUGGUGAAUGAAAUCUGUUUUAGCUGUCCAAAUUUGUUUUAUUAACCAAUAUUUUCUGUUGAUACGUUUUGUAUGAUGCAUUUGUGCAGAUCACCCUGCCGUGGUCUGUAUUGUACCAAAUAGGACACUCAGUUUGCACACAACCAAAAUGUUGUGAAUGAAAUUCCUUCAAAAGGCCAUUCAGGCGCUGGAAGUUAUUUUCAGAUUCAUGGAAAUAACUAUAAUACUGGUGGCAUUUAGUUUCCAAGUGAUCUUGGUAGUUCAAUAAGUUCUAGUUCUACACUUGUUUCCAAAGGUUUUGGUUACAUGAUGGUCUGCCCGUUGAAUUACAAACUUGUGAUGAUUUGUACAAGAGGAAAAAAUGUAUUGGUUGGAAUUUUUGUUUCAUAUGAUAUAACUCUGUGAAACAGCUUUACAUUUUGUGUUCAAGUUGAACAACAUACAAUUUGAACGAAGAUUAUUCAAUCAAAUUGAAGAUUUCUGUUUGAAUAUUUUGAAUGACAAAAUUAAAUUUACUUUCAUGCAGAUGCAGUAGCAUUUAAUCAAGUUCCUUGUGCUGUUGAAACAAAAAUAUAACAUCCUUGCUUGCAUUUCAACAUGAUAUGAUGCUACUCUUUUACUGUUAACCAACACACAUACAUCAUGUAGGCCUAAUGGCAAAUGUUGUAAUAUAUAACAUCAUGAUCCAUGGGCUUUGUAAUGAUGGGCAAAUGGACAAGGCAUCAUGAUCCCCCCCCCCCUCCUUUUUUGCUAUGGAUUGUAUUUCUUUUUUUUUCUACUUUUACUUGCGUUGACAAUUUGAGCUUGCUGUCUUGUGGUCUUAGAACCUGCUAAAGUAAGCGUGUAAGCGACAGUGAAGAAGGGGAAGGGUUUACUCGUCAUUUUCUUUUUGAAAGCAAUGCGUUUUAUGCGGUGAUAUUUUUUUUAUCUACGUUGUGAAAAAAUUUGACUGAUUUUGAAGAUCCUUAAAGAUCGUCCAUCUUGGUUCUGGCAUUGUUGCAGCCUUGAAGUUUGCAAAAUGAUUCCUGCUGGAUAAAUUGAACAGCUGCCUCUUUGAUGGAUUAUGUAAAUCUGGCAGACUUGAGUUUGCAUGUGAAUUGUUUCGUAGUUUGCCUCGUCGAGUCCUCGUGGCAGAUGCUGUAACAUAUAACAUCAUGAUCCAUGGGCAUUGUGACGACGGCCGAAUGGAUAAGGCACAUGAUUUAUUUCUUGAAAUGGAAGAAAAUGCUGUGGCACCCAAUGUGAUCACAUUUGGUACGUUUAUCCAUGGUUUUAGCCAAAUCAAUGAGCCAUCAAAAGUUAUUGACCUUCUUCACAAGAUGAGGGAGAAAAAAGUAAUGCCAGAUGCAUCUAUAGUUUCAAUCGUUGUGGACUUACUUGUAAAGAAUGAAAUUAGUCUGAACUCACUUCCGUCAUUUCCUGUCCAAGAGCGACAGGGGGAAGUUGAUGAGUGAAAUGUCAAGUUGUAGCAGCAUGUGCUUUCAGCCCAAAAUCCUGAUCCGCAGCAUCUCAUUCAUGUUACAAAAUGACAUGUUGGCUGGUGACAGCAUGUUCUCUCCGGUGCUGUUAAUGGAUUCUGAUUGUUCUUGUGAUCUGGAGAGUUUCAUUCAUAUUACAGAUCCUUAUCAGGACGAGCUAGCAUAUGUGAUCACCAACUGUACAUGGUUGUUGAUGCCAAAUUAAAUUAUGGUAUCAUGUUUUUCAACUUGUUAUUUAAUAUAGUGCUUCCAUUGAACGGCCACAAGAAACUGUAGAAUCACCGUGUCUUGUUUAGAAGCUAAUGAAUUAGUUGCACCUUGUCACUUUAUUGAGACUUGAUUGUCAUUUGUGCUUUGAAUUUACAGCAUAUUUUAUCCUUGCUGUACUCUUUGCAUAAUCACUUUUGAGGGCUGCUAGUAUGUAUAAUUGAAAAACCUUAUAUAAAUUGUAAGCAUUUUUAUUUAACUUGUUGUAAACGUCCAGUAUAUGUCUCUCCUGUGAAAUGAUUCAUUCUCCAUGCUGCUAGGGCCUAGGCUUAUGACUCUCUGAAAUGAUUUACCCUCACCUGCGCACAGACAUUUAUCACAUUCGAGAAAUCUUCAAACAAUGUGAAAAAAAUGCCUCAAACACGACAUAAACUUAGUUGUUUACAUGAAAAGUGGCAGAAACUUGGUGAAAUUACCGAUUAAACUUCCAAAUAACAUUUCAAAUGGUAUUGUGAAAAAUUUCACUCUUUUGGUAAUAAAAAAGAACCUUAUUUCUAGUUCUCUAUUAACAAUCUUACCACUAAGUUCUCUCUUAAGUAAACACAUAUAUAUGUUAAUUUAUUGUUAAUAUAAACAAAACUAAAUAUUUAUAACUUAAAAGAUAAGUGUUGAAUAGAGGCGUUCUCACAGGGAAAAAAAAAAAGUAUUUAAAAAUAGUGGUGAUAUCAUAAUUUUUUAUAUUGAUACGAGAAUAUCACACUAAAUUUUUAUACCAUGUAUUGGCAAGACAAAGUUUCUUGAAACUGACAAACUUUUCUCUAUGAAGAUUGAAGACAAUAUGAUAAGAUAAAAUUUAUCAAAAGCAUAUAUGCUUGCCAGGGCUGGACCUUUGAUUUUUAGUCCUCGCCUUUCGUUCUUGUUUCAUAUUCUUCUGCUAACAAAUCUUGAUCAGGAUGAGUCUCCUUUUUUCUUUAAAAAAAACCCACACGUAAAGUCUUGGCCAUAAGCCUCAAGACCUAUUGGCUGUUGCAGUGGUGAGUUCACUCUCAGGAAUCAAAUCUUUCAAAUUCAAGCGAAUUUGAAGAAGCUCGAAUUUGAAGAAAUUUCAAAUGCCUCGUGCAGGCCUAAUGCCAAAUGUUGUAACAUAUAACAUCACGAUUCAUGGGCUUUGUAACGAUGGGCAAAUGGAUGAGGUACAUGAUAUAUUCACGCUUCUGUCUAUAACACAUUAAUGGAUGGGUUUUGCUCGACGGGUAGAGUUAACCAUGCGGAGGAACUAUUUGGUUCUGCCAUUGUUGCAGCCUUGAAGUUUGCUAAACGUUUCCUGCUGGAUAGAUUGAAAAAGUUUGUCUGGAUGGCCUGGUUUUGAAUUGAUUUUAAUAGAAAACGAGCUUCAAGCAUGUGCUCCAACUACUCUGGCAUGAGGUAAUACUAUAAUUUAUUUAUUUUUAAUGAGUGAGGCUAUAAAUCCUGAAUUCCAACUUGACAUGGCAUUAAUCUGGUGAGUGGCAGAAUAUUAAUUAAAACAAAAUCAUUUUCAACUUAACUUUCACAUCAAACAGAGGGGCUAAUAUGCUUUCCGGAUUAUGAUCCGCUGGCAAUCGGAAAGCCAAAAAAUUAAUUAUUCCAUUAUUAAUUCCAAUAGUAUCGCUGUAUCAGCUAAAAAGCACAAGAUUAAAUUGAUUUACGCACUUGCACCAUUUAUUUAAGCAUACUGUUGGUUUAGCGUUUGCUUAAAUUUGAAAGUAGAGUGUUUCCAUGCCACAGUGCCAUGACAUUGGUGAUUGGCCAACAGUUUUUUUUUUUUUUUUUUUUGUGUAAUCUUUUUUGGUUGCAGUAAUAAAAUGUUAAUCCUUUCUUCUCAUGAAUGUUUUCUUGAACUGAAAUGUUAAUCAUUUCUUCAUGUUGAGGCAUUAAACUACUACAGACCUAGGGUGGCAAUAUAUGGAAGUAAAUGGUCGUUUAGUAGGACCCUUUAAUUAGGGUAUUAGCUGCUCAAUUUGGAGAUCUCAUGGACCAACAAUUUAUCUGGAAUGUCACAUUCACAUAUUUGAUUGAAAAAGGAAUUAAGGAAUUUCAGGUGGCCCGGAAACGCAACCAACUAUACCCGACAAUGGCAGAAGACAUUAUAGAUUAUCGAUUAUUGAGUUAAAUAUGAAUGGUGGGAUUUCAGGUGGCCUAAAAAGUUAAACAUGAAUGUUCUACAUAAGGUUAUCUGUAACUUGAAGUUCAACAAAAAGUUUUAAAACUAGAUAUUACAAUGGUGGGAUUUUGCCUUUUAUCUCUUGUUUCUCUUCCCUUAAUCGUUUCUUGGCAUGUUUUAUCAGCUCUUCCUUUGGGUCAUUUUGUAGGACGGGUUACACCAGCUAAGCACAUGGAAAGGUUAUGUAGACUGGACUCUGGAGGAAUAAACCUGCCCUGAGAGGCCGUCAUGGUGGCAUGCUUUGCUGCUUGUUUUGUCUUGGGUCGGUCUAUUUUUCCUAUUACUAAGGCACAUUUGCACCGUUAUGUCUUGCGAACGAUUAAACAUUUACACUUUAUAGUAAAAAAAAUUACAUAUUAAGAGAAAUAUUAUAUUUGCAUGCUGAUAUGAAUUAGCACUAGAAACAUGAGGCUUGCUAAUUAGAAUUGUUAUAUUGUCAAACUCAGCUGUGGAGGUACUGGAGAAUCCAGUAUAUCUGGCCAAUGCAAGCAACCUUGUGCUGUAUCUUUCAAAGUUUAUGCGUUUUUCACCAUCCAGCUCUGCAAACAUAGUUACCAAUUUCAUGGGUUCCUCUUUGCUCUACUUGGUGGCUUUUUUACGGUUGCUUUCUUCAACACCGACAGCAGCUAUGUCAUAAGUGAGCAAUAGAAUUCAUGGUAAGUUUUUUGUUAGGAUCAAACUUUUUAACUUGUUAAAUUUUUGUAAUUUCUUACUAAUAAGGCAGAGUUGCCUAUUUUUAUCCGAUUAUCAUGCCUCAUACAAUUUUCUUGGGAUUUGCUUCGAUGCCUCUGUGACUCACCAUGAAACUCAAAAACUUUCUAAAACUAGCUCCAAAUACACAUUUCUUUGGAUUAAACUUCAUUUGGUACUCCCUCAGCAAACCAAAUGUUUCUUUCAAAUGCUGCACGUGGUCACUCGAGUUGUGAGACUUUGUGAUAAUGCCAUCCUUAUAUGCCUCCAUUAUGUUCCCAAUCAGCAGCUUGAAGAUCUUAUUCACGAAUCUCUAGUAUGUUGCUCAAACAUUUUUCAAGCCAAAGGACACGACAUUAUAACAAUACAGCCCUUGGUUAGUAACAAAAGAAGUAUGCUCCUCAUCCUGCUCGAACAUCGGUACAUGGUUGUAAUCCAAAAAGGCAUCUACAAAGCUGAGAAGUCCAUGUCUAGUUGUGGAAUCGACCAACUGAGCUAUUUUAGGCAAUGGAAAAAUAUCUUUGAGGCAUACCUUAUUGAGGUUCAUGAAAUCCAUGCACAUUCUCCACCUCCUGUUCACUUUCUUCACCUACAUCACGUUCGAAAGCCGCUACGAGUUGUUUACCUCCUUGAUGAAACCUGCAUGUAAAAUUUUAUCCACUUCACUACUAAUGCCGUCAUACCUAUCCUAGUUAAAGCAUCUUCUGUUUUGUUUCAUCGGUCUCGCAUCUCUGCUCACUGCUAACUUGUGACAAGCCGCCUUGGCAUCGACCCCUGGCAUAUCUUUGUCCUGCAAGCCAAACACAUUAAAAUGUGGUUGCAACAACUCCACCAGCUUUGCUUCCAAAUCUUCCCCAUGGGUGGCUUUAAGUAUAGGCGAACAAGGCCGUCGCCUAAGCUCUCAUAUUUUAAGAAGACCUCAUUUUUUAAGUAUUUCCUUAAUAAUUCUCUAAUUAAUAAAAUAUUUUAAUAUAUAUUUUAAGAAAUUAAAAAGUUUAUUAGAUAUCUCUCUAUUCUUAAUUAUUCUAUAAUUAAGAAUUAUUUUUUAUAAAAAAAUCUAUAUUUGGGAACCUUAAUUUUAAAGAAAUAAUUAAUACUAUUCUUUAACCAUUAGUUCAUUCCUUUUCAAUUAUUCAAUGUUAGCAUAUUUGACUUUUAAUAUUUCUUUUAAUUUCUAUUAAAAACCUCAUAAUCUCAAGAAUUAGUAAAUGAAAAAAAUUUAUUGUUCGCUUCUCUACAAAUAAAAUUUUUAUAUUCGUUGGUUCAUUUAAAAUAAUUAGUUUCUUAAAAUAUAAAGUCCAUUUUUAUUUUUGAACAUCAAUUCAUCAUUUUAAAAUUUUUAUAUUCUAUCUUUCUAAAUAUUCUAUUUGAAAAUAAAAUUGUUUUUAUUUAUUUGUUUGUUUAUUUUUUAACGGUUUUAAUGGAAUAAAAAAAUUAUCUUCUUGACUAUUUUUUAGGUUUUAUUUUUUAAAUUUUUGAUUUUUUUAUUAUUGUUGAAAUUCAAGAAUUAAAGAUGGAAUAAAUUUUGAUCCUUUGUAUAUAUCUUUGAGUAUUAAAAUUACAAAACAAUAGAGGUCUCAUAAACAAAUUUCGCCUAAGGCCUCUCAAACUCUAAAGCUGGUCCUGAUCUUCCCCCUAGGGGUAGCCAUAAAUUUUGGGUUCGAUUUAGUUUAACCUUUAAAAUCCGAACAUGUUUAAACUUAGAACCUAUUCGUUUUUAAUUGUUUUGUCAAACUUUUAGGAGAUUAAAGGGGUGUGAAAGGACAUAAGAAGUCUUGUUAUGGCUUGGCCCUUUAUAAUAGAUAUUGGUGCACAUGCUCUUUUCUUCUAUAUUUUUAGAGAAAGAAAAUUAGUAUAUGAUCUGUUUGAAGUCGCCUGGAAUUUCAAAAAUCCUAUGCUUCAAUAUAUUAUUAAUCAAAUCCCCUUAUAUCUUGAUAAAAUCUUUUUUACUCUUUCAUUCGCAAGGAGCUGGAUGAUGGCUGGAAAUAAGGAAAUUCCUUUUUUUUUGUUUCACCCCAAUUGUUCUUGUAUUUGUAUAUUGCCAUAUAUCAUAAAAUACAAAUUUAUGUAUGUCAAAAUGAAAUCGAUCUUAAAAAAAGAAAAAAAAGAUCUCGCGUUACUGCCGCUUACACACCCCCAUGCCACAGCUGCUAUUAAUUCCGUUUGGCGCACCAGCAUUACAGCUUCUAGCUGUUCUUUCUUCCUUGAGUUGAUUUGGUUCCUCGUUCUAGGCUUCAAGUUAAUGUCGUCUUCAGCCAUUCUAGAGUCGUUUACUUUUGAUCUAGCUGUUGCUGUCUCUACCUCCUUCUUCAUUAAUUGCCAUCAGCCGCAUAAAGGAAGGAUGUGAGUUUAUGUUUACGAUUCCUAAUGGUGAUGAAUAAGACAUGGUGUAAGAGAUGUUGUUAACUGAAUUUAGUAUGCUUUCUAGGAUCAUAUGCAAUACAUAUGUAUUUCUUGUAUAAUUGUUGUUUGUAUAUUGUAUUUCAAUCGGGCAUGGCUAUCUUUGUCUUACUCUUGUACAUUUCUAUUACUUUAGAUAACUAUUAAGGUGUAGAUGGCUUUCACGGAUAAAUAAUAAGCAAUUUUAGGAGCUUUUCGUGUAAAAAUAUAGAACCUAUAUUGUUGAAAUGUCGAGUAUACUUAGUAGUUGAUAUUUGUUUAUAUUUUUACAUUAAUCUGGGAUGGGAUUUGAACUUUAUAACCGAAAUUGAAUCUAAACCAAAAUUAAGAUAAGAAUAUUCAAACUAAAUCGAUCCAAAAUGCAAACCUAAACCAAAUUGAGCUAAAUUAAAUUUGAUUUAGUUUGGUUUGGGUUUACUCUCUAAACCUGAUUGGAUUGACUUCUCCAACCCAAUUAAGUUUUAGCCCAAAUUGAAACCUAAACAACCUGAAUCAAAACCCGAUUUGCCCACCCUUAUGAUACGAACCCAUCCAAAAACUAACGCAACCCUAAUCAAUUUAAUCUCUAAGAUUAAAUAGAAGCACUACCCAAUGUUCAAUGAAAGCAUGAACCUUAGUAUGUGAGGAUGCUACAAUCAAUUAUGGAUGAUUUGAUUAUAAGUUAAGAGUUUGAAUGACACAGAAAUUUGAUAAAUUCAAAUAGUUUGUUUAAGAAUAAAAAAGAAUUAACUCUCUCACUAAUUGCAUCAAAAUUUAUUUGUCUUUGUUUAUUAGAUGCGAGUACAUUAUAUAGGAUUGGUUACAAAAAUUUUUAGAAAUAAAUCCUAAACCGAAAUCAAAUCAGAAUCCUAAUCUAAUGCAAAUAAGAAAAGAAUUUUAGUCAAAUCAUAAUCCUAAUCAAAGCAAGUAGGAAAGAAUCUAAAUCGAGUCAAAAUUAUAAUCUAAGUAAAUAGGAAAGAAUCUAAAUAAAAUCAUAAUCCUAAUCGGUUUAAAUAAAUUACAUCAAUUAAAAUAAAAACUCAACAAUUAAAAGAGAAAUAACUUCUUGUUUCUCCACCAGCAUCAUCCAGAAACGGGAAAGUAUUCAAAAAGAAAAGUAGCAUAUUUUUCAAAUGGAAAAGUAUAUGAAAAAGAAAAAUAAGAUAUUUUCUCGCCGUAAUGUGCAAGCCAACUUCCUAUUUUAUGGAAGUGAUUAUUUGGAAACUUUAAGAGCCGUAAUCAUGUAUUUAUCACGUGCAAUUCCUUCAAUAGGCCUCUAUAAAUUUGAUCGAGCCUCAAUUACUUGAAUAAACCCAUUAAACGCUUCUUUAAAUUUGUUUGUUCGAGCUCUAGUGACAGGUCCAACGAUAACUUGAAUAGGAUUUGAAUAUAUCUCAUCCCACGUGCUUGUGAUAGUUUUGUCCUCAAUCUAAUCAUUUUACUUCCCUAAUCUCGACCCAAUCUUUAAAAUUUUUUCAUGCUAGCUUGACUUUACUAUGACUGCCUUGAGAUUUUCAACUGGUUUUUAUCUCUCUUUCUUGAAAUCUCUUCAAGUGUCAAGUUAUCUACGUGGCUUCUUUAGUCGCGGACACAUAAUCGCACCUAACAAUUCUCUAGUCACCCUUUACAACUUUUGCCACACUAUUUACUCAUUCUUUGAGUGCCAUGUAAUGGUUAGACAUCAUGGACUUGCUAAUCCUCAUAAAGGGUCUUCCAAAAAUUAUUUGAUAUGGGCUGUCUUCCUCGACUAUUAUAAAAAAAACUGGCAUGAUGGUCUUUUCAAAUGGUCCAGAGCCGAUCGUUACUAGCAGCUCUAGGCAUUAAUUUUCCUCUUCUAUAUCCUUUCAAAGAACUGUUGGUGUGCUUGUUGGGUAAAAAUUCAAAUACUAUGGGUGUCAAUGUGUAAGUAUACACAACAAGUAAUAUAAUGAUAAAUAUACAAGAUCAUCUCCACAGGGGUUGAUGUUACGAAAAUUACUACAGCAAGCUUAACAAUUUUGGUUGAAGUGAAAGUAGAUUGAUCAAUUAAACAAAUAAACUACCUAAUAAAAUGCAAUAAGUAAAUAUGCAGAAAAGCAAACUCUCAGGUCAAACACAAAAAUAAAAUCAAUAGGAAUGAAGUAGUUGAGUGACUAAACUCUUUUAAUGGAAUUGACUAUUUCUUGCAAAUUUCGAUUCAGUUGCUGCAGCAUCUGCUACAGUACUAGGCAUAAUCCUCAUGCAUCAUCAGCUGUCGCAUGUUGGAUGUCUUAUAUCUAUAUGCAACCUAACAAUGACCAAUUGUUAUGCCAACAUAAUAUAUAUCAUUACACAUUUAGGUUCUAUUUACCCUAUAAGGUGAAUCCCUAUAUCUAGUUCAUCACUAAUUUUAGAUUAAGUAUGACCUUUUUUGGAAUCAAGUUGAACUCAAUCUAGGAACCCAAUCUAAAACUAAAUAUUAUUCUAAUAUGUUCCACUAAGAUAAGCCAUUUUGUGGCUCUUUCCUAGCUUGUACCAUUAAAUGGGUAGUCAGCUAAAAUAAUGACUUUAAAUAAAUACUAUCACAACAAAAUGUUAUAGCAAACAUGCAGCCAGGGACGUAGCCAGGAUUUUGAUCGAGUUGGGGCACAUUUAAAAUAAAAAAUGACUUGAAUGCGCGAUUGCUCGUGUGGUAAGUGUGGGCCCCACAAACUCCAAAUGGGAGCUUGCCACAUGUACAAUCGUGCUCCUUAUAGAGUGUUUCUGACUGCAUCUAAUUAAAAUGCUAUUAAAAUAUAAUACACUUCUAAAAAUUUAGAUGGAAAUAUAUAACAUUAUGUUGAGUGUUAGAAAAUGGAUAUUUAUAAAGGAGAAAAUCGUCAUUUUACAUUUCAAGUCUUACUAACAACCCUUACUUUUAUGUAUUUAAGCUUCUUGUAAUUUAAUUAUGUGUGUUUGAUUUUAAUUAAGUAUUUUAUGUAUUUUAGGGGCAUCAUAGUCAAUUCACAAUAAAUGAGAGAUCAAACGAUAAAACGGACAUCACUUUUGAACUCAGGACGGUCGAAAACCUUAAGAGAAGCAUAAAAGGAAAAAUGGCACUGUUCACAUGUACGGUACUAUUCAUAUGUACGGUACUGUCUACGUUACUGUUCACGACACUGUUCAUAUAGACGGAUCGAUGACGUGGCAUUGACCGAUGAUGUGGCAUUCACUGAUGAGGUGUCAUGAUCCUGUUGGACUAAAAUUCUUAUGUACUGUUGAUGGUGACGUGGCAGCAUAUUAGUGGACUAAAAAACGUGUGUACGGUACAUGCAACACAUGGGAAUAUUUUCAACCAAACCGCAUUACUGUUCAAACCGUGUCACUGUUCAAACCGCGUGGUCAAACCGUGUUACUGUUCAAACUGCGUACUGUUCACUGAUGACGUGGCACAAUCCUGAGCAUCCAAACUGUUUUCAAUCCGAUGGCCAUGAUUUACUCAAUGUAUCUAUAAAAAUGGGACUUCUCCCCCCGAACGCAUGCGAUUGCUCAUGAGGAAUAACAUACCUGCUGAUAUCUUUUGGUUAAUCGAGGUGAAAGUACGAUUGGCAGGUGAGUUACCUCCAAAAUUUAUUGCAUACAUGCCUGGUUGUGGUAAAGAAAAUUAUGCAAGAAAACGAUGAGCUCGAAGAAUUUCUGUUGCUUGUCAUAAGUAUGCCAGAAUGAGUUGCGAUAAAAAUCCAUAUUCUUUAGGAAUGGCGUCUGAUAACAGGGAAUAUAAGAUUCAAUUCAUUAGGGAUGACUUGAAUAAGGAGUCAUUGGAUGAUAUCCUUUUAUCUCUUGAAACGCAUCCCAUUAGAUAUGUGCAAGGAACGAUUAUUCAGUUAUGACCAUUAUUCCAGAAAGAGCAUGCACGAUAUAGUCUCGGGAAUCUGACUAUAAACGACCAUGUUUGCCAGUUUAUAAAAAAAUUGGAUGGGAAGCCUAUCCUAGACCCAUAAAGGGCGUUCAAGCCGUUUCUGGACGUAAAACCAGAGGAAGAUGUGAGCCACAGUCGCAACUACCUGUAAAUAUCCUUUUACUUUACUGUUAUUUUAUUUUACUGUUGUUUUAUUGUUUGUAUUAUUGUCUUUAAUAAUUUUAUUGUUGUUUGCUUUUUCCUUUUUACUGUUUCCUUUUUUACUCGCGAACCAUGUGCUUUACGCGUUAUUUGACACUGACAUACUACCUCAUACACAGCUGUGACCCACUGUCCCCAAGAUUCUUAAAUAUGAAUUUUUGUCAAGCACUCACAAAUUAUUUUUGAGAAGUAUCCCAAUGACAGCUACUCCACAUAGACAAUUUAAGAACAUUUGUGUGCUUUCUGGAUUUAACUAUGGCAAACCUAAAGAGUUCGUUGAGGCAGCCAUAGAUCUUGGUCGAAGCAUAGCAGAGAGAAAAUUACACUUGGUGUAUAGAGGAGGUAACUGAGGGUUAUUAAAAUUGGUCUCAAAAGCUGCUUUUGUCAGAGGAAGCCAAGUGCUAGGCAUCAUCCCAAGCGUCCUAAAACCUUUGGGCAGUUUGUCUGACUCAUCGACUGGAGAAGAGUUAGUCGACUCAGGUAUGCAAGCAAGAAUAACUGAAAUGCUUAAUCAUGCUGAUGUUUUUAUUUUCCUUCCAGGAGAUCUUACAACACUAGAGGCACUUAUCACACUAGCAUCUUGGGCCCAUCUGCACAUUCACCAGAAACCCAUCGGUUUGCUAAAUGUCAAUAACUUUUAUGAUGGCUUUAUCGCAUUUCUUAACCAUGCAAUAAAAAAAUAUUUCAUUCCUUCAAAUGCGAAAAAACUUUUUAUUUGUGCUCACACUGCUACUUGAUCUGUUACAAGCUCAUAGACCGGAGCCAAACCCCUGGACCUUUGUGUUGGAGCGUCCAAAUAAUGAUGGUAACAGUAGCAGCAGUAAGAAGUACAAAUUAGAUUUAACUCUCCGCUUGUAAAUAUUUUCUUUUGUGUUGCACCACUCAGGUGAUGCCUUCUACACUCUACUUCUUUCCUUUAAAACAUUGAGGACAAUGUUUCAUUCUGGUUGGGGAGAGGGAAUAGUCGACAAUUGUGGAAUCUUGGUUAAGUUUUUACUGAUUUUUUGUUGUAGAAACUAACUGUUGCUAACUUUUUAUGUUGAAGAUGGCUGAAUAUGGAGUGUAGUGACUCUAGAAACGCAUCUUCAUUGUUUGAAAAAAAUUAAAAAAAAAAAUCAGACAUUUUCUUUUUCUUUAUUAAGUUUUGAUGUUCAUUUUUCUUCUUCUUUUUAAUUUCUCCUCUAUAAAUAUACAUUUUCAAAUUGUUGAGUCGAAGAUGGCUGAAUAUGGAGUGUAGUGCCUCUAGAAACGCAUCUUCUUAGUAAAAAAAAAAAUUUCUUUUUCUAUCAUAUUAAGUGUAACUUUUCUAAUUAGUUUUUAUACAUCCUUUUCACAUUUCUGCAUGCAUAUUUUCCUUUCAUGUUUAGGAUAGGUUGGGGGGUAUAACGUUGUUUAAAAAAAAACAAAAACAAAAAAAAAAAUUUGUGUGAUUUGUUUUAAUAUUGGAUGACAUGAUUAAUUUCAUAUUUUAGUAUUUGUAUUAUCUUUGGUCUUAAGUGAUGUUACACUAUGUUUGCUACUCUACAUGUUGAUGUCGGAGAUAAAUAUGAGUUGCUUGAAGGAAUGAACAUGUCAUAAUAAGUACCAAGUGAGUUUUUGAGCCUAUCAUUUUUCUUGGAGAGUAACCCUUUCCCACAUUUUUUAUACAGCUUAACAGUUUAUUAUUUUAUACACGAUCUCUAGAUUUCUUUUGAGUUAACCCUUAAAACAAAAUUUGUAAAAAAAAGAAGAAAAAAAUGUGUGUUGCUACAUUUGGAGGUCCAUCUAACUAGUAGAUAUGGAAGAUUAUUUAGAGCCCUAAAAGACGGUGGAAAGGUCAUCUUUGAUCCGUUUGAGUCUUUCUACCCAUCCCUUUUAUGAAAUAUCUAUUGUUAACCCUUUUGAGCCUUUUAAAAAAAAAUUAAAAAAAAAAAACCUUUUCUUUGUCAACUUAUCAUCUUGACCCACUCUGAUUUGGAGUAUUAUCCAAUAUCUUACAAGUUCCAUCACCUAUUUAUGUUUGAGAAAAAUGUAAAUAAAUAUUUUGUACAGUGAAGUUAUGCCCAACAAAAGCAAAAACAAAAAAACAAAAAAUUGUUAUUUAAAAAAAAAAAGAAAAAAAUAACAAUAAAAGGUGAAAUCCACCUUACAACUUCAAAAAAAAAAGUUCUCUAUAGUUUUCUCAAACAUACACUUUGUUUUCCUUAUUUCCCUUCUUUGUUAGUCAUGUCCCUAGCCUACGUUACGUCCUAAUAAAAAUCCUUCUUGAUUUUAGGGAACUAUAGUCUGAAGUAAAUUGGGUUGACUACCAUUUUUGUUUGACUUGAGAUCGUAUUAUUUCUAAACUGAGGGCAUAUUUCUUUCAUCUUGGUGAGAGCAUGUGAUAUCACUUCUUUAUUAUUUUCUCUCAAUUAUCAUUCAUUGGAAUAACUAUUUUUAUUGGGUUUAAUUUCUUUGUAAGAGUGUCACUACUUCCAGUGAGAUUUUGGGGUUUGACAUGUCAUUCUUGAAAGUAACUGUGACAAUCUACUAAGCUGAUUCAUGUGGAUGGUUGAUGUGGGCGUGAUGUUCCUUUAGACUGGAGAUAAUGCUUAUACUUUUAUUUGAUUACUAUCAUUAGUCUGAUUAAAUAAACACGAGUGUUUAAAAAAAAAUCAUUUUGAAUUUGAAUUUUAUUUUCGCUUUAUUUGCUAGGGACUAGCAAUAAGUUGGUUGGGGGGUGUGUUGAGUAUUAGAAAAUGUAUAUUUAUAAAGGAGAAAAUAGUCAUUUUACAUUUCAAGUCUUACUAACAACCCUUACUUUUAUGUAUUUAAGAUUCUUGUAAUUUAAUUAUGUGUGUUUGAUUUUAAUUAAGUAUUUUAUGUAUUUUAGGGGCAUCAUAGUCAUUUCACAAUAAACAAGAGAUCAAACGGCAAAACGGACAUCACUUUUGAACUCAGGACGGUCGAAAACCUUAGGAGGAGCAUAAAAGGAAAAAUGGCACUGUUCACAUGUACGAUACUAUUCACAUGUACGGUACUGUCUACGUUAUUGUUCACGACACUGUUUAUAUAGACGGAUCGAUGACGUGGCAUUGACCGAUGAUGUGGCAUUCACUAAUGAGGUGUCAUGAUCAUGUUGGACUAAAAUUCUUAUGUACUGUUGAUGGUGACGUGGCAGCAUAUUAGUGGACCAAAAAACGUGUAUAUGGUACAUGCAACACAUGGGAUUAUUUUCAAUCAAACCGCGUUACUGUUCAAACCGUGUUACUGUUCAAACCGCGUGGUCAAACCGCGUACUAUUCACGCAUAUUGUUGACUGAUGACAUGGCGCAAUCUUGAGCGUUCAAACUGUUUUCAAUCCGAUGGCCAUUAUUUACUCAAUGUAUCUAUAAAAAUAGGACCUCUCCCCCCUAAUUUGGAUCUCUGAAUCCAUUUUUGGACUCUAUUUUAUGUAAUUCCUUCUCCAUCUUGUAUUUUCUACGUAUUUUAAUAAAUUCUCAUUUUGCCCCUAGUUCAAUUAUGAGUGGCUAAUUUUCUUUCAAGUUUGGGUUGAAGGUGAAGUCUCAACAUGUGUCAUGGGCUUUAUUUGGUAAAUUUAUUUUCUCUUCCCCUCUUGUUUUUGUGGAUGUUUUGACUUUUCGUUGACAAAUAAUAAUAAUCUUGUCUAGUACCGCCCUGGUUUCACCGGCUCCCUAGUAUAAGAUUAUUAUUAUUUGGCACGAUAAGCCCUUAGCACCAUAUUGAUUAGAGCGUGGUUCAUGAGGUGUGGAUUCCCCCCUCAUGAUUUAAUUGGCAUUAAUAAGGAUUAUUUAGCCCAUGAUGCAUAUUGAUACGGAUCCAGAUACUCAAGUACGUCAUUUCAAUAGAUUUUCACUUCAAUUUAUUCUUGCCAUUUCAAUUCCAAUUUUAGGAUCAUUUAAGUCACUUUCACCACAAAAUCCAACCACUUCAUACAAAAUUAAUUCUACAUAUAACUAAAAUCCACCUCCUCGUGGGAUCGACACUCGUCACCAUUAGUCUAUUCUACAAUAGAUUCGUGCGCUUGCGAGUUCAAUAAAAUUUGCACAACACAUUACAACUAUAAUAUUCAUUGCUAAUAAAUUUACUUAGUAUAAUUGGUCUCAGUGAAAACUUCUCAAUGCGAUUUUAUGAGUUGCAAAUAAUGCAUUAUCAAUAUAAGCACAAAUAUAUUUUUCAAUAUACAAGACUAGGUUAUAGCUUAAUUUGCUCUUAAAAUCUUUUAAUAAUAACAAAAAAUAUUUAUAUAUUGUAACACACAAAACAAAAUGAAUGCUAGAUAAAAUUCUAGAUUUUAAAACUAGACAAAAGAUUAAUCAAAAAAUUAAAAAUUAGAAUUGGGUAGACUUACAACUUAUGGUUCAAUGUCGAAAUACCAACUAUUUGAUUUUGCUUGAAUAAAAAACAAAACGAUUAAAGACUGGUCCAUUAACCAUUUUACUAACAUUUUGUUGUGAUUGUUUUUCAUUUUAAUAUUUGUUCUUGUGUCUUUAAUCCAGUUUCAUGAAAUGUUAAUAACUAAUUAAAUUAUUUAUAAUUAGAAAUUUAAACUAUGGACAAUAUGAAAUAUUUUAAAAUUACUAGAGUCAGUUUCAAAUUUUACAAUUCAGCUGGGGUAUUUUUCAUAAAUAACAAAUAAAAUACAUUUUUUUAGUAUAAUUAUAAAAAAAAUUUAAAAGCCAGCAGGGGCAUGUGCCCCACUCGUCCCAUGCUGGCUCUGUCUCUGCAUGUAGCAACAUAUAAAUUCAGUUAAUGAGCCAUUAAAGUUGUUUAUCACUCAACCACAAGGAAUAUUAGUUCAUGAUUUUCAAAACGAAACUAAACAACAAAGUUUCAGCCGGCAAAUACAUUCUCAUGUCAAAGAAUAAAAAUAAAUCAAAAUAAGAAUAAGAAAGACUGAAUUCCAAUUGAUUCCGGCAAACUUCUCCACUGAUGCAGUCUUGAUUCUUGCUCUUGAAAUCUAUUUUUCCUUGUUUCUUUUCUAUUUAUGAUCUUGGUUGACGGCCGCCUUUUUUCUUUUGUACAUGUGCCUCUGUUAUAGUCCAAAAUUAGGGUAAACGGAAGUUCAGAGCGCGCAUCUUCCCAAUUAGGAAAUUGCAGAUUGCAAUCCGUUAAGUAUCUUGCGCGAAAUCUUCUCUGUCAUUGUUCCCGAAUUGCUACAUCACGGUUUUCUACAGCAAUAGCUACAGUAUAUGCACUGUUCCAAAUUUACUCCAAUUCUUCUAUAGUCGUAUUCUUUUGUCCUUUUUGCAAACCCAUUGCUACAACAUCCUUCCCAUGAAAAUUUAACUUCAGGUUACCUACAAUUAUGCAUAUGUUUUAAGGACACAAUUAUUAGAAAUCAAGCAAAUUUUAUUAAACUUAAACUAAAAUGAAUGUUAAUGUAAACUAUCAUUAAAUGCACUAAAACACAUCAAUUACCCUCUAAGUAAUCUUGAUUUUAAGUCUAAAAGUAUCAUGAUAAUCUUAUUUCAUAGAGUUUUCAAUACUCUAACUUCAAGUUGCACGAAUCUAUAAGGAUUCUUAUGAAUUCUUUGCUCGUUACAUUAGCUUUUAACACCAAAACAUCUUCAUGCAAGUAUAGUAUCCCUUCCUCAUCGUAUUAUGUCCAAAUGAUUGGAACUUGCUUGGUUCUUGCUCAUUUUGUCAAUGAAGCAUUGAAGAGAAUAUCAUGACUUGUUAUUGCAUACCUUUUGUAGUACUUCUAGGCUUUGUUAGAGUUAUUUACUAGAGUUGGCCCUCUUACAAUAACUCUAGCUACUGGCUCUUCAAAAAUCAUAUCACCAGUAUUCUUUUUUGCUGUAUGCACUGUUGAUCUGUCAUUGGAUAAGAACUGUCAAUAUACUUAUUCAAAUAAUAAUUUCUUACUAGAACUUCUACUUGUUUUUUUAAGUCGUGACACUGUGGUUUGGUGUGGCCAUGGGUGUUAUUCAUCAGCAUUAUCCUAUCUCUUAGGAAAUUUUGGCAAGUAAGGACUAAUGAAGGUAGGUUUUGGUUUUGGUUUAGUUGACCUUGUAUUUUGAGUUGGGUUAACUUGGAUCAUUAUAGUGAGGAUGGCUAUCAACUAGUUAUAUCAUUUCAAGUAGCUCUAUUUAGAGAGGGGUGGGGUUAAUUUCUUUUUACAUAGUAUGGGAGAUAAGAGUGGCCAAAAUCAAAUUUAGAUUGGAUUCGGAUCAAUUUGAUCAUAUAUUAAAUUUUUCGGAUUGACUAAAAAAACUCAUCUGAAUGUACUCGAACUUGAAUCUAAUAUGAAUAUAUUUGGAUAGGAUGAAUAAUUUGGCUUAAGUUAGAUUUGGAUCGGUUUGGUAAAUCUCAAAUUUAAUUUUAAUUUACAGGUCACUAUACUCAAUGGAUAAGACAUAAUUUGUAUAUCUCUGUAAUAAACAUUCAAUUUUGAUAUUCAACUACAUAGAUAGAAGAAAAAUAAGUCAUUUACAUUACAAUUGUGGUGCAUAUCACUGAAAAGUAUCAUAAUAAUUCAUAUUUUUCCAACCAAAAUGAAAAGAAACCAUAAUUUAAACAACAUAAUAAGCAAAUAGAAUUUCUAAAGAAAAGGAAAAAGAGUAGAUGUAAGCUAGAAAAAGAGAAAUCAUGUAUUAGAGAAGAAAAGAGCAUUUUUGCACAAAAACAACUAAUACCAAAACUAAUAAAAAAAUCUCAUAUUCAUUUUCCAAUUUUCUCAUAAGCUUACGCAAUUCUUCCUCUUCUACUCUUCAAAAUCAUUUGCCAAUUUUCUCAAUUUUCUCAUAAGGUGAUCUUUGGUCUUUUGAUGAGAAAAUUACUUGAGUAACUUACAACUGGUUAGGUUUGGGAUUUUGGGGAAAACAAGUUAGGUUUACACAUUACAAACUUCACUAGUCAAAUUGUCGAAUUACAUCCGAAUUAGAUUUGAUCCGAUUAUAAUCUCAUCGGAUUGGGUUGUUUCUAUUUAAUCAAAUUACAACAAUAAUCCAUAUUCAAUUUGAAUAUGUUUGGAUUGAAUCAAAUCCAAUCAAUCUAAAUCCAAUUCGAUGCUAACCCUUAUGGGAAUAAGUAGCCAUCCUUAUUAUGACCGCUCUACUCACUGAUGGUUUGUCAUGAAGCCUAACUAGUCCACUUAUUUUUUAGCUCUCCUUUCAUUUCGUUUUAACUCCACAAGUUACUCGUCUCUAACUCUUGCUGCUUUUUCCUCCUCGAUUUCAAUAUCCACCUUCACCUAGUCAUAAGCAGUUGAAUAAGAGUUUAUUAUUGGGUUCCUUAAGUUAUACCACAAUUGGCCUAUCUUUACUCCCUCUUUUAAUCCCUUCAAGGCCUGAAGAUGAUUGAAAGCUCCAUAGUCAAGGAUUGCUUGGUGAUAUCUCUUGAAAAAUCUCUUAGAGUUUGAUUUUCUUCCUACUCGAGCCUCAUUGGCUCUAUCAUGUCAUCCUCUGGUGUUAUUGCUCCUAAAAAAUGUUCAGCAAAGUCUCCAUGCAAUUGAUUAGAAGUUCUGAUGCUUCCCUAUGGCAAUUUGCGAUACCAAUCAUGUGCAUGCUAUUCUAAUGUCAAUGGAAACACUCGACACCACUGUAGUGGUGUCAAACCAUGUACUCUAGUCAUCUCAUUAAAUCGUUCUAUAUGCAUAAAGAGUCACUCUUUCUGGAAUAUUUGAGGUUUAAAACUAAUCCCUUGAUAUUGUUGUGCUCAUGAUUUUUGCUGAGAGUAAGAUUCAUUAUCCAUAAUUAUUCUCCAGCUCAGUGCUCUUUCAAUCCUAUACUUCUUCAAUAAUUCGUGCUAACCUAUGCAUCUUAUCUUCUAAUUUCCCAACGCGACUUGGGUUCUACACCCUUAUCUACUUGCAGUCAGCGUUCUGUUUAUUCCAUAGAUUUUCACCGAAGUACGUUUUGGUUGCUCUCCAAAAAAAUAAAAAAGAAAGAAAUCACCUAAUACUUUUGGGGCAAGGCAAGCUUCCAAAUAACAUUGCAAAUGAUUUGGUGAAAAAGCUUUCAUCUAUUCCGGUAAUUUAGAAGCACUUUAAUUCGAUUCUCUCUUAAGAGUCCUAUCACUUUAGGAUGAUUUUUAAGUAAAAUCCUUGUAUAUAUUAUAUUUUUGUUAAUAUAACAAACACUAAAUAUUUAUGAUCUGAAAGAUAGUUGUUGAAUGGAGAUCGUUUCACACAAAAAAAGUAUUUAAAAAGAAUGUGGUAUUGUAAUAUUAAAUAAUUUUUUGUAGUGAUAUAAGAGUAUCACACUAGUUUUUUUUUUGCAUUCCAAAAAAUUGAAAAUAAGAUCUAAGUAAUUUCAAGAAUAAAUUAGCAAUAUUAGGAACAAGUUUUACAAAAAGCUUCUGGGACAUGUUAUACAAAUUUGUUAUAUAAGAAAGUCUCUACUAGAUCUUCUUUCCACAUUACAAAAAUUAGAAAUGAGAUCUAAAUCGACCAAUUAUAAAUUUUAUAGUGAGUGGGUCCUAUAUGAAAACAAGGUUUUUUUUUAUUAUAGUGUAGUCAAUUAUCAGCCAUCUACCCUAAGUUUAUUUUAUAUUAAAAAAAUACUAGGAAGAAUUAAUUUGUUUAGUUUUUUACUUUAAUUUUAUAAUUUGUAUUAGUUGUCUAUUAAAAAGAUAGAAUUAUCCUUACUAAAUGACAAAAUAGAAACAAAUACAAAUAACAACUAUGGUCAUUUUGUAAGGGUAAUUCUAUCUUUUUGGCAUCGAAUUGCAUAUUAAACUAUUUUAAGUACUUAAAAUAAUAUAAGUUCUUUAUCAAAUAAAUAAAAUUUUAAACUAUGUAUUUACCAAACAUUUUAAAAUCACAGCUCCUCUACUACAUCUCCAAAUAAAUUCUUAAAAUCAUAAAUAACUAAAUUAAUGGGGUUUUAAAAGGACUCUCCGGAUUUUGCAUGAUUUCUUUAUAUAUAGGUGCUGGGUGAUCAUGUUGGUUCCUAUAGGUACCAUCAGCCACACUUUUUGUUAGUGGUGAAAAAACAAUUUUGGGUACAAUUUGUGAUUUGUAUAACGUGCGGUAUUAAACAUUUGAAACAUACACCGACAGUAAUCUAAUCAAUAAUUAAAAAAAAUUGUAUAAAAUACAUAUGUCGUAGGCAACUCAGAUCCUUUUCUUUAUAAUUCCAUAUCAUGUGAUUAUCAAAAAACUUCUUGAGAUUUUUAAAUUUUGUAAUUGCACUAUCCUUGAAUUAUCAAAAGACUCUUGAUAAUGUUCUUCUUCUUAAAGAUGCCCUUAAUCCGUAAAUGGUCCAAUAAUUAGUUCAUAAAACGAAUUUAUUACUUUAGACAAGUCUCAAAUAUGCAUACCUCUUAUAACUCCGUAUUGCAUAAUUCCUUACUUAAAUGCAUUUGUUUCCUUUCUCUAAAUUUUAGAAUGGCCUUGUCUACUAAAUUUCCUCUUUAAAUUUGACUGCCAACUAGGAAUUUCGCCAAAAUUUCCACCCCAUCUUACUCUCUGAAAUAUGUCUUCCACGUUACUAUAGCAAAUUUUACAUCUAGGAUACUGAAACAUUUUUUUUUUUUCAAUUUUCAAAUAUUUAGCUGUUGACAAUAGGUCUUUAGCUGCUCACCAAGAGAAAAUUUUCAUCUAAAACUUUUUUUGAUAAGGCAAGCCUCCAAAUAACAUCCAAAUGGUUUGGACAUUCAGUUCUACUCAAAAUUCAGAUUAAUUCACACAUAUUUAGAUUUUAGACAAGAAACAUAUGCCACCUAAAUAUUUAUGACUUAAAAUUAUUUAAUAAUCAUGGCACAUUUAACCUAUCUAAACAUGAAAUCUUGUGGAGACUUAUGUUUAAGCAGGAGGAUAACGUGAGAAAAUUGACACAUUAAUUUACAAUUUGUACGCCAACUGAAUAAUUUUUGUUUGUUUUUUGUUUUUGAUAAUAAAACAAGCCUCGCAAGAGCUUAGGUUUUUAGCCAACUGAAUAAAUUUCCCCACUCAAAUUAGAAACAAUAAAAUCUAAUAAUUAUGUUAUGAGCCCAUCAGACAAAUAGUGAGACAUCAUAUUGUUAAUACCUACUCGUAAAAUUAACGGGAUAACGCGGUUUAUACGGACAGAUUAUCAAGGUAUUGUUAAUACCUUCUGUACCGGUAAUUCUUUUUUUCUUCUUUUUCAACCCCAAAUAAUCAAAAGCUCUCCAAUGGCUUUUGUAUCCACAACUCGUCCAUUUCAUUUUACUUCAAUUUCAGUAUCAGCUCUUAGAUGUAAUUUCUCAUCUUCGUUCCCUCAUACCAGAAAACCCACAUCUUCAAUUUCGGAAAAUGAACCCUCAGAUCCGACUACAACAGCUAAACUGAAGGAGUCGCUACGACUGACAGUCAAAGACGGAGCCUCAAUCGAAAAAUUUCUUAAAGAAAGGUGAAAAUCAUCAGGUCAAGGUGAUAUUAAUCUUAUUACUCCUAAUGAAGCCUUGUGUAUCUUUGAUUACAUGCUCCGUAUGCACCCUUCUCCGCCUCCGGUUUCUUCCUUCAAUAUUUUGUUUGGUUGUCUUGCUAAGAAUAAACAUUAUGAUACUGUCCUUUCACUCUUCAAGAGACUCAAUUCAACUGGGUUGUUUCCAGAUCUUUAUACUCACAGUAUUUUGAUUAACUGGUAGAGUUUCUCAUGGUUUUGUUGUUCUUGGGAGAAUCAUCAGGUCUUGUUUUACUCCAGAUGCUGUGACCUUUACUUCUUUGAUUAAAGGUUUGUGUGCGGAUAGUAGAAUCAUGGAGGCCGCCGCAUUGUUUACAAAACUUAGAGUGUUUGGUUGUGAGCCUGAUGUUUUUACAUACAAUACGUUGAUUAAUGGAUUGUGUCGAACUGGCCAUACAAUUGUUGCUCUAAAUUUAUUUGAAGAGAUGGCUAAUGGAAAUGGGGAAUUUGGUGUCGUUUGUAAGCCAGACACUGUUACAUACAACACUAUCAUCGAUGGUGUUUGUAAGGAAGGUUUCGUGGACAAGGCCAUGGAACUGUUUCUGCAGAUGAAGGAUGAGAAUAUUAACCCCAAUGUGGUUACUUAUAACUCUUUGAUUCACUAUUUCUCUCAUGCUGAUGAUUGGAAUGAGGCUAAACGUUUGUUUAUUAAGAUGAUGGACCAAGGUGUGCACCCUAAUGUUGUGACUUUCAGUGUGAUCGUGGAUGAGCUCUGCAAGAAUGGGAAGAUGGAAGAAGCAAGUAGGUUGUUGGACCUGAUGAUUCAGAUUGGUGUGCAUCCAAACACUUUUGUCUAUAACACAUUAAUGGAUGGGUUUUGCUUGACGGGUAGAGUUAAUCGUGCAAAGGAACUAUUUGUUUCUAUGGAGAGUAACGGGUGCAUGCAUGAUGUUGUUAGUUACACCACAUUAAUAAAUGGGUACUGCAAGACUAAGGAUGUAGAGGAAGCUUUAAAUCUUUAUAGGAAAAUGCUGUCUAAAGGAAUUAGGCCAACAGUUGUUACAUAUAGCACCUUGUUUCUUGGCCUUUUUGAAGUACACCAGGUUGAGCAUGCUUUAAAACUGUUUGAUGAGAUGCAGCAUAAUGAUGUAGCAGCCGAUACAUAUAUAUACAAUACCUUUAUUGACGGGCUCUGCAAGAAUGGUUUUGUUCUAGAGGCACUGGAAUUAUUCUGUGCUAUAGGAAAUAGCAAGUAUGAACUUGAUAUCAUAUCCUACAGCUGCCUCAUUGAUGGAUUGUGUAAAAUAGGCAAACUGGAAACUGCUUGGGAACUGUUUCAAAGUUUGUCUCGUGUAGGCCUAUUGCCAAAUGUUGUAACAUAUAACAUCAUGAUCCAUGGGCUUUGUAAUGAUGGGCAAAUGGACAAGGCACAUGAUUUGUUUCUUGAUAUGGAAGCAAAAGGUGUGGAACCCGAUUGUGUCAUAUUUAAUACGAUUAUGCUGGGUUUCAUCCGCAAUAAUGAGACAUCAAAAGUUAUUGAACUCCUUCAGCGAAUGGAUAAUAGAAAUGUAAUGCCAGACGCAUCUAUACUUUCAAUUGUUGUGGACUUGCUUGUAAAGAAUGAAAUUAGCUUAAACUCGAUUCCACAAUUCAAGAGUCAAUGAGUUUAAUGCUGAUUACUUGCAUGUUUUUUUCUGCCUAAAAUCUGGAUCUGGAGAAUCCCAUUCUUAUUACAACAUGUAAAGGAGUGUUGUCUAAUGUUGGCAUGUUCCUAGGUUCUGUCCAUGGAUUCUGUUUGCAGACAUGGCUAACUUCUUGUUCAACAGAUAAGUUUUAAAGUCUUUGAACUUAAUGUUGUAAAAUAACUUUUUUAUUAUUCAAUUCAUGAGUUUUUCUUCUAUAGCACAUCCUUCUCAUUAGCUGGAAGUGCAAAUUUUUUAGGCUUUUCCUGUAUGGCCUCUUUUUCUGUUCUAAAUAAAAUGGCAUUUUAUUUCCCUCCUGUGAGGGUACAACGUUUAUGUUUAAACUUUCUGUUAGUUAAAUUGGUUGUCUUUGAUAUAGGGAACUUCCAGUUGAACUGAUUUGUAAUUCGAGUAUAUGAGAUUACCAACUGUAAUGGGAAUUGAUGCCAAAUUAAUUAUGUCAUCAGGUUUUCCAAUCAGUGUUCAUCAUUUAUUUCUGUUAACAAUUAAUAGCACAGCUUGUCUUCGCAGCUUCAUUGGUUCCUCUCAAAAAAGUAAUGCCAGAUGCAUCUAUAGUUUCAAUCGUUGUGGACUUGUAAAGAAUGAAAUUAGUCUGAACUCACUUCCGUCAUUUCCUGUUCAAGAGCAGCAGGGGGAAGUUGAUGAGUCAAAUGUCAAGUUGUUGGAGCAUGUGCUUUCAGCCUAAAACCCUGAUCUGCAGCAUCUCAAUCAUGUUACAAAAGGACAUGUCGCCUGGUGACACCAUGUUCUCUACAGCGCUGUUAAUGGAUCCUGAUUGUUCUUGUGAUCUGGAGAGUCUCAUUCAUAAUACAGAUCUUGAUCAGGACGAGCUAGCAUAUGUGAUCACCAACUCUACAUGGUUGUUGAUGCCAAAUUAAAUAUGGUAUCAUGUUUUUCAACUUGUUAUUUUCUAUAGUCCUUCCUUUGAAUGGCCACAAGAAACUGUAAAAUCACCCUUUGUCUUGUUCCCUCUUAAUGAUCGAUCACUUUGGGAGCUAAUGAAUUAGUUGCACCUUGUCACUUUAUUGGUGCUUGAUUGUCAUUUGUACUUUGAAUUCACAGCAUAUUUUACCCUUGAUGUACUCUUUCCAUAAUCACCUUUGAGGGCUGCUAGUAUGUAUAAUUGAAAAACCUUAUAUAAAUUCUAAGCAUUUUUAUUUAACUUGUUGUAAACCUCCAGUGUAUGUCUCUUCUGUGAAAUGAUUCAUACUCUAUGCUGCUAGGACCUAGGCUUAUGACUCUUCUGUGAAAUGAUUUACCCUCACCUGCACACAGACAUUUAUCCCAAUCAAGAAAUCUUCAAACAAUGUGAAAAAAAUUGCUUGAAACACGACGCAGACUUAACCGAUUAAAAUGUCCCUACUGUGAGGAAGGAUGCUAUACAACUGACUCGGAAAAUGUAAAAUGGAUAACGUACGCCCAAGAUGAUCAACUAGAAACACAAUUCAAAACUCGGGCUGCUUUUGGCUGCCCGGCCUUCAGAAGUCAAUAUUUAUAUGAACUUUUGAGGAGAAAUUAUAUGAACUUUUGAGGAGAAAUUAUACUAAGGGUUCAGAAGUCAAUAUUUAUAUGAACUUCAGAAGUCAAUAUUUGGCUGCCCGGCCUUCAGAAGUCAAUAUUUAAAAACUUGGUGAAAUUACCGAUUAAAAUGUCCCUACUGUGAGGAAGGAUGCUAUACAACUGACUCGGAAAAUGUAAAAUGGAUAACGUACGCCCAAGAUGAUCAACCAGAAAGUGAGAGAUUAGGAUCACCAGUCAGUCAGAUUUGGAUAGAAAGUGAGAGAUUGCUAUGCCGUGCCAUUGCUUCAAUCCUAAAUGCUUUCAUCUCCCUGAAAAGUAUACAAAUGUAGGGGUUAAAACAGAAUAGAUGAAACCGUAUUGAGGAACUCAACUGAGACAGAUGAUAAAUGAAAACUAACCAACCUUCACGCAAAACUCGUACAUCUCCCUUUAAGAGCUGACUUUCUGAGAAGAGAUCACCACAAUCGUUCACAUCAAAAGUCUCCACUUGAAAAUUUUAUAACCAUAGUACUCAUUCCAUUCAAACCAGAUCCUUGAGAUCAGUUCCUUCUUCAGGCAAGUGGCAUGAUCUUCCUCUUUAGGAGACUCAGCAGCAACCAGUCUAUAUGCACAAACUUUCUUUGUUUGGCCUGGCCGGAAAGCCCUGCUGAUUGCCUGGCGGCUCACUGAUGGAUUAAAGAGAACAUCCAGAAUAAUGAUUCAAAUUUUUGUGGAAUUACUUGUAAAGAAUGAAAUUGGUUUAAACUCGAUUCCACAAUUCAAGAGACAAAACUAAGCAGACGGGUUGAAUCUUUGAUUGAGUAGCAUGUCUCUUCUGCUUUAAAAGCAGAUCUGGAGAAUCCCAUUCUUAUUACAACGUGUGAAGGAGUGUUGUGUAUUGUUGGCAUGUUCCCAGGUUCUGUUCAUGGAUUCUGUUUGCAGACAUGGCCGACUCUUUGUUUCAUCGGAUAAGUUUCAAAUAAUUCUGGCAAAUUUUUGUUGUAAAAUUACUUUUUUAUCAUUUAAUCCAUAUGCCUCUUUCUCAUUACCUGCAAGUGCAAAAUUUUUAGGCUCGUCCUAUUAGACCUCUUUUUCUUCUCUAAAUAGAUAAAACGGCAUUUCAUUUUUCUCUUGCGAGGGUGCAGGUUUAUGCUGAAACUUUCGGUUAGUUAAAUUGAUUGUCUUUGAUAUUGGAACUUGUAGUUGAACUAGUUUGCAUUUAGAAUAUAUGAGAUUACCAACUGUAACGGGAAUUGGUGCCGAAUUGAUUAUGUUAUCAGGUUUUUCAGUCUGUGCUCAUCUUUUAUUUCUGUUAAUAAUUAAUAGCACAGCUUGUCUUCUCUGCUUCUUUGGUUCCUGUCUAUUGUCAAAUAUAAACUUGUAGAGACAUUUUGUUUUGGCAUGGCACAUGCUAGAUUUUGUUUUUGGUUUGAAUGAUACUACACAUCUAAGUGAUUGUCCAGAUUUUUUUUCAUUCCUAGUGACAUGGCACUCAAUUGAAUGGUGACUCGUGAAUCAUGAUUGUGUGUGUUGGUCUUUGUUAUACUACGUGUUGGCAAGACAAAGUCUUUUGAAACUGCCAAACUUUUCUAUAUGAAUAUUGAAGACAAUAUGAUAAGAUAAAAUUAAUCAAAAACAUAUAUACUUGACAGGGCUGGAACGUCUGUUAUUAGUCCUCGCCUUCCAUUCUUGUUUCAUAUUCUUCUGCUAACAAAUCUUGAUCAUGAUAGUCUUCUCUGUUAUUAAUCCUUUUUUUUUUUUUUUUGGCUUUUGGAUUUUGUUUCCUUUAUAUAUAUAUAUAUAUAUAUAUAUAUAUAUAUAUUGUAUACAGUUAUUAGCAUCGACAACUUGAGCUUGCAGUCUUGUGAGUUUAGAGCCUACCAAAGUAAGCAUACACAUGACAAUGAAGAAUUGAAGAUUGUGAACGGUUUACUUGUGCGGCUAUGUUAGAAAAAUUUGACUGAUCGUGAAGAUAUUUAGAGAUCGUCCAUCUUGGUACUGCUAUUGUUGGAGCCUUGAAGUGUCAACUUCUCAUCGUUGCCUACAGUUGCCUCAUUGAUGAAUUGUAGGCAAACUGAAAAUUGCUUGGGAACUGUUUCAAAGUUUGCCCCGUACAGGCCUAAUGCAAAAUGUUGUAACAUAUAACAUCAUGAUUCAUGGGCUUUGUGAUGAUGGGGCAAAUGGAUAAGACACAUGAUUUAUUUCUUGAUAGACCAUUCUCAGGGCACAAAGGGUGUGGUGCCCAAUUGUGCCAUAUUUACUAUGCUUAUGCGAAAGAAUGAGACAUCAAAAUUUUCAUCACUCAAUGGAUAAAAGAAAUGUAAUGCCAGCUGCAUCUAUAGUUUCAAUUGGUGUGCGCUUACUGGUUAAGAAUGAAAUUAGUUUAAACUUGAUGCCAGAAUUCAAGAGACGGUUAAUUAGAUGAGUUGAAUGUUGAUUUAGUAGCCUUGAAGUUUUGCAAAUGUUUCCUGAUGGAUAAAUUGAACUUGUAUGCACACAUGUAAACUAAAAGAAAAAUUAUUUUAAUAGAAAACGUGCUUUAAGCAUGUCCUUCGGCAUGAGGUAAUACUAUAAAGUUUUUUUUUAAGUAAGGUUAUAAAUUCUAGCAAUUGAGUCUCAAUUUGAUAUUAUAUUCAUCUGGUAUAGGGUAGAAUAUUAAUUUUUUCAAUUAUAAAAUUUACUAUCUAAUAGAUGAACAACACUUAACAGUUGAGAAUGAAAUGGAGACUCAAUUGUUGGGAGUCCAAUCACUUUUUUCUCUUUUAACUUGCUAUUUUUGUUGUCCGAAAUUAUCUGAAGUUCCAUGCUUGCUCCAAUAGAACAAAUAAGAUAGGUUAUGAUCAACUUUUUUUUUUUCCAAAUAAAGGAACCACCUGCAUCGAUACUCCAUAAGCAAGUUUUUUCUUUUGACUGCCCCUUAUAUUUGUCACACUCCUUGUACUAGUGCCCAAUGAAACCACAACAGAAGCAAAAAUAUGGCAAUCUCUCAUAUACUACUGUAAUUGGAACAUCGUCUUCACCUUCAAGUUCUAAAUAACCAAUUUUCUUUAGUGGUUGUGUGAUAUCAAUUGAGAUACUUACUCUGGCAUACUAACCAAUGCACUCUCCUUCCACGUCCACAUCAACUUCUUCAACUAUACCAAUUGCCUCUCCCAAUGCUUUGAUUAUUUGCUGGUCUAUACACCCAACUGGGACAUUAUGAAGUUGUACCCAAAGGCAGCAUGAGUAAAUGAUUGUUUUGUUAUUUCCCCAAUUCCACUUGCCUCUUUUAGAACUAUUAGAGCUCGUUCAAAAUGCCACUGCCCACUUGAUAAAAUUCUCAUCUUAUCAACUUCAAAGGCAAAUUUAACUUAAAAAUCUUACUCCCCAGAUUUUCAAUUUCACCUAUUCUACUAUUCUGCAUACUUGUUGUAAUGCUCACUUGAGACCCUCUCUAGUAACUCCUCUUAGAUGUAAGACUUUGCCCAGAAAACAGCCCUCAACUAGCUCUCUCUCAUUCCCUUUCAUGACAUUACCAACAACUUCUUUACUCUAUUUUCCUUCUUCUAAUAUAAUAACUUUACACUUGCAAAUUAGUUCUUCUGUUUUCAUUAGGCACUAAAAUAUAAAUCCAUUGUGAUAACUCUUGAGUAUCUACCACUUCCUCUGUAAUUAAGACUCAACAACUCAAAUGAAAAACUUAAAAGUAAAAGAGACACCCAACUCGUGAGCAACUUUCGCAAUCUUAUGGGCUACUACCAUUUCAUUCUAGAUUCUCGCUCAUAGGGGGAGAACCUGUGAAGAAAGACUUCUACAGGUAGGAGACCGCUUACACAGUAGAUUAUUUAUAUUUCUUUGGACUAACUUUUUACUUUAUCAAAGACAAAAACAACAUAAACAAAGACAGAAGAUUAACAAAAGCAUCAAUUGCCAAAGAGUAGAGAGUAUUAUUAUAUUUUAGGAACAUAGGUUAUGACCAACUUAAAAGAAGCAGUUAGGGCUUGUUCAGUACUGUUUUAAAAGCCUUAUUUUCAUUUUUGUUUUGGGAGUACAAAUAUAAUACAUAUUUAGUGGGUUGAAUCCAAAAAUUAAAUCAUAAAAAAGAAUUGAUAUUCACUUUUACAGUUAUAAAAUUAAGAACCUAUUGAACAUGUUCUCAAACAAAUUACAAAUUAAAUUAAAACAUAAACCCCAAAAUAAAAUCUAAAAAGUUAUCUUCCUCUCCUAAAAUCUUAUCUCCUCCCUCUCGUUAUCUCUUCACAACUCUUCCUUCUUCAUGGUAGAUACUUCUCCUCUAACCACAACCCACCUGAACUGUGCACCGAUCUCUCUCUCCCCAUCCCCUUUAUCUAGGUCUACUUCACAGUUCUCUUCCUCUCAGUGGCUGUUACUUGUUCAUCAACCGCAAUCCAUCGUCGUAAGGUACUACGUCGGAAUAUUUUACCAAAAACAUGUCAAGACAAAGUGAUGUCUAUCAUGGUUUAUUACUGCAAGUGCAUUAUUUUCUUUGUACUAAAGUGAAUCUUUGAUGUAUUUAUUAAAUUUGGUGGAGCAAUCUUAGUUAAUUUUGAUGAUUUAUAUAUGCAUUUAAUUUCAUUUUUAAUAAUUCAUGUGCAGGAAAUAUGGAUUCUUGGCUUUGCUUGGACUGAUGGUUUGGGCAAUUUCAUUUGGAAUCAAUCAACUUCGAGGAUAAACACUUGUAGUUCAUCCUUUGUUCUCUAAUUUUGUUCAUGGGACUUGCUUUUCUUCCAUCCAACUUUUUUGUUCUCUAUUUCUAUGGUAGCAGUUUUAUGUUUUGUGUUGGUGGGAAACUUCAUGCUGCAAUUUUGUCAAAUUCUGUUGACAUACCCUAAUCAGUAAUGACUUUGCUGCAUGGCGAAAGCAUAAGCUCAUAGUUGACAUUGUUGUCAUUAGAGCUUGUUUCCAUAAAAAAAAAGUGUAAUUUGAAAGUACAUUGUACACUAUUGAAUUUGAAUUAUCUCCAACAAGUGUUGAUGCAUGAUGUCCAUCAUGUAAUUUUUUUAUAAUUAUUUUGUUUAACUUAUAUGUGUUGUAAUAUAUAGCUUAAUUAUAGUGUAAAAACAAUGGCAAUGUAAUUUUUUUAUUAAUGCUAAUACUAAAACUUUAUCAUCAUGCAAUGUUUUAUAAUUAUUUUGAUUAAAUUAUUUAUGGUAUAUUUUUGUAUUAAUUAAAUAAACAAUUAGUUUUUAUUAAAAAAAUUAUGACUUACAUGUUUAGUAAAAAUUGUUCAUGAAAAUAGUAUUACCGAACACAUUUUCUCUGUGUUUAUCUUUUUCAAUUGUGUUUACGGAACACAUGUUACUGUUUUCAAUUUAGAAAAUACAAGAUAUAGAAAAUGAUAUUAGAUGUCUAUUUAAUUCAAAAUGCAGCAACUGCAAAACACUAUUUUUACUCUCAUUUUUCUUUUUAGAAAAUACUAAUUUAGAAACAAUACCAAACAAGAACUUAGUUUUAGUACGAAUAAUGUUGUGUUAGUUUUAUAGGUUUACAUGCACCCUUAGAUUUAUUAGAAGUAUCAGCCCAACCCCCUAGUUACUGUUGACUAAUAUCGAACCCGCUGCCCGAUGUUGACUCUUGAAAGUAACUAUAACAUCUAUAUUGUAAUCUCACUUUAUUAACUAAUAAAUUUUAAAAAUAUAAACAGAUCAAUAAUAACAAAAUAAUUAAAGUUGAAAUCCAAGAAAUUACACAAAAAACCACACCUAAACCAAACCUGAAAACCAAAAUGCAUAAAAUUUCAUUAAUUUAGGUUGUGACAAUGAGUCGUCUACAUUAUAUGAUGAAGGAACAACUUCUAUCAUUUUACCAAGUUAUUAAUACUAUGUUUACGUACUAGAGUGGGCCUGAGAAGUAUAGAUUCCUCACACACUAGAGUUUACUUGCAUAUUCUAAGAGGUGUGGGAAUCUCACUCCGUUGAUCCCACCCAAUUUUGAAGUAGGGAGUGUGAUUUCCACUCCCACAAGGGAAGGUCCACUCCCACAACUUUAUUUUUUACCUUUCUUUUAUUAAAUUUAAUACAAUCAUAUUUAGUAAAAUAAAACAAAUAACAUCAUAUUUAUUUAAUAAAUAUUAUUAUAUUAUUUUAUAAAAUUCUAUUUAUUAAAAAGAAUAAUAUUAAUCUUAUUUAGAUAAAGUUAUUAUUAUAUUUAUUUAAAAAUAAUAGCAUUAUAUUUAUUUAAUAUUAAUAAUUAAUAUUAAUAAAUAGUUUAUUCUAAGAAAAUAUUUAUUUUGCACUAUAUUAUUAAUAAGAGAUAUUAUCAUUUUUCCACCAAAAUUAUUCUGAUACAUCAUGUUAGUAGCACGGUUUGGUAAAAACAUCAUUUUACCACCAAACGUUUAAAUUGUUAGUAUUUUUCCACAAUUCCGUUAAAACUCAGUUAAUAUUUAAUGGAAAAUGCAUAAAAAGUCAAUUUUACCCCUGGAGCAUAAAAGAUAAUUUUACCCUUUAAAAAGGAAGAACGACAAAAGAUGAUUUAAUUACAAAAUUACCCCCAAAAGACGACAAGACAAUUUUACCCUUUAAAAAGGGAGAACAACAAAAGACGAUUUAAUUACAAAAUUACCCCCAAAAGACGACACUGCUGCGAGAGUGAGAGAGAUAUGGGUCAGUGACAGUAAGCGAGAGAGGACGAAGAUGGAACAAGAAACGAGAGAGAGGGGGGUUGAUUUCGAUUUUUAGGGCUUCCAUAUCCAAAUUGCUUGUUUUUUUACAAUUGCAAAACACAACGUUUUGCCUUCGCAUGAGAUGUCCAAAAUGCCCUUAUGAUGUCAACAUAAUUUUUAUUUAGUUAACGGAAUGGUGGGAAAAUACUAACAGUAUAAAUGUUUGGUGGUAAAAUGAUGUUUUUAUAAAAUCGUAGUACUGAAAUGAUGUAUCAGAAUAACUUUGGUGGGAAAAUGAUAAUAUCCCUAUUAAUAAUAAUGUUUUAUUUGUGUUGCUCUUAUCAAUAAUUUUUAAUUUAAAUAAUUAAAAUUAAAACUAAUAAAAAUUUAUGAUUUACAUAAUUAAUAAUAUUAAUAAUUAUUGUUAAUUUACAAAUAUAGUGAAAUAAUAUAUUUUAUUUCAAAUAUAUUUUUUUAUUAAUUUUGUAAUUAAAAGGUACAAUUCUUUAAAUAAGUGUAAAACCGUAAUUUGAAACCAUUUACUCCCUUCUCAUUCUAGUGAGAGGAAACAACUUGCUCCCACUCCACACUCUUAAUCACAAGAUUCUCACUUCUCAAUAUUCCCACUAUAAUUUAAAAUGUAAACACCGUUUAAAACAUCAAAUAAAAUUCUCAAUUAAGUAAACCAUAAUGUGAUUGCAUAUAAAAAAAAAUUAAUAAUAUUAAUUUUCAUAAGAAUUUAUGCUCGUAGUAUUACUUUACUUUUUAUUAACCGUUGCUUCAACUUAUGGUAGAUUGUAACAUAUGCACUUUAAUUUUCUUAAUUAAGUGUAUUAUUUAAUUUUUCUCAUUCGAUGUUAAUUUUAAAUUUGUUUUGACAUAAAAUUGAGACAAUUCGAAUACGAUUCAAUGGCCGUGUAGCUGGAUUUUAUUUCAACAUGGGUCAGGCAUUAGCUUAGUUAGUAGUAAUCUUUAAAAAAAAAAGCUAGUUUAUAUAAAUGGAAAAGGGGGAGCUGAUUUCCAAAAGAGGAAAGAAAGAGGGGCACGCGAGAGAAAAUGAGAGAGAGAGAGAGAGAAGUUGACCCGUUUAGCCCGACCCGACCCGACCCACAAGACCGACCCGGCUCCAACUCCCGUUUCUGGCCACCAUUCCAAUCAAGCUUGGUACCAAUCUGAAGCUUGAGCGACGCUGGCCAUAUCCCCGCUGUCAUCGUCACCGAAAAACAGCCACAACGCCGGUGAUCAUCGUCAAUCUCGCUGGAAUUAGGUUGCACCACCGGCUGGGUUCGACUCCUCACAUCACCAGCUUUCAUUUCCGACUAACCCCGCCACCUGAAACCUCUGUUUUGGCCCUGAAUGACCACCGGAAAGCUCACGGCUUUGGGAGCACGAUCCGCCGCCAUCUCCGCGUGUGGGAGGUCACCGUCGACGCCAUUGGGCUCACCGAGGUUAGAACUAUCAUACUUGAGCUUUCCGUCGCCGUUGACUGAAGUCCGGUCACCGUUGAGCAGUGGGGGCAAUUUGGUAAUUUCACAAGACUUUAAGGUGGAUUUUUAAUUUGGUAAUUUUAGGUUAGGGCAGUGAGGUAAUUUAAGACUUUGAGGGUAAUUCGGUAAUUUAAGUUAUUAAGAGCAUUUUGGUAAUUUCGCACUUUGAGGGUAAUUUCUUAAAUUCAAAACUUGUGAUUAAUUUUGUUAUCCGAAUUGAGGACAAUUUGGUAGUUUAAGAUAUUGAAGAUGAUUCGAUAAAUUAUGAUUCCGAUGGUACUUCGGUAAAUUUCGGUGUCAGGGGCAUUUUGGUAAUUUUUGGACAUAAGGGUAAUUUUGAAAUUUUAUGUAUCCGGGAGUUUGGUUUUGAGCUUUAUUUCAUACUGUUAGUCGUAUUUCAUGAUACAGAUAAUAAUUAUGUCGUUUAUUUAAUUAGGAGGACUCGCGAGCAAAAAUCAACCAGCGGACGUUAGUGAUACCGAGUCUGGACAUCGUCACUGUGAGUGGAAUAUACAAAACUUAUUUUCAUGGUAUAUUCUGAUUUUACCAUACAGUACAACAUGUUUUGAUAAUAAGUAUUUGAUGCUUUGAUUUAAUGAUUUUCUAGAAAUUUGAUUUUCAUUCUACGUGCUGAUAUUUAUUAUUAUUGAAAAUGAGUUUGAUUAAUGAUUUUAUUAUCAUUUUUUUUGAGUAAAUGCAUGAUAUUAGAAUUGAGUGGAUUUGAGAUAUGUUGAAUAAAAAGGAAAUGGGAUUUUAUAUGUGAUUAUAUGUUUGCGUGCAUGUGCAUAAAAGAUUGUUUGGAAAAUCAUUGGAAGUACCUUUCCCCUUUUAGAUACAGAGAUACAUAUAAUAUGAGAUGAAUACAGUGAUACAGAUGAUAUGAGAUGAGAGGUUUUUGGGGCCCGUCUGAACACACACAAAGACUUUGGGCCGUGUGUUUGGGCGCUUUUGCCUUUUGGGGGCUUAUGCAUACAGUAUGAUGAUUACAUAAAUACAGAUGUUGAGAUACAUGAGAUAUGAGAUGACAUUUUCCUAUAUAUCCAUUGUAACUCCAGGGCAUGAUGGUUCCCUGAUUGUCCGUCCGUUGAGGUCCGAAUAUGAUGAGAUUAUUCCGCUGGAUACUUGUUUGAUGAUAGUUUUUUGUAUCUAGUAUUUGAUAUUAUAAGUAUUAUGAUUUCAUUGAUUUUAUGCAGAUUUAUGUAAUAUUGUUAUUUCAGUGCAUGAAUUAAAUUAAAUAAGUUUAUGUAAGUUCUUAUGAUAUUUUGAUGAAAUUAACUUGGAAAAGAUUAAAUCAUUUUAAAUAAAUUUAUUUUUCCAAAAACUACUAUCCACUCACUGAGCUCACUGAGUUUUAUAUUCACCCCGUUUUUAUUAUAUUUUUCCUCCUAUAGGAAAUUUGCAGGUACAUCAGUCGACCCAGCAACGAUAGUUAGAUUGAAAUUAUGGCCACGUGAUGGUGUUAGAAAUCAUAGAUGUUUUGUUGGGACAUGUUGAAUUGUAUAAUUUAUUACUUAUUUGUGAUUAAGGAUAAAUCAUUAUAUUCUUGACAUUAUAUGAUUGAAGGAUACUGAUAUUUAAAUUGAGGAAGUUGGUUGUGGAUGUUGAUUAAAUAUUGUAUUAUUUUUUGGAGUAUUAAUUGUAUAAAUUGUAGGUUUGGGGAUGUCAUAAUUAUAUAGAAAACUGUCGAAUUUUUUGUAAAAUUCUUAGAUAUCAGAAUUAUUAUUAGUUUGAUUAGGCGAGAUUAGAUAGACUCGUCCUGGGGAUUCGGGGCGGGUCGUUUCAUAGAUAUUAAGAGAACAAUAAUAAUAUAGCUAUAAAUGGUUGCAUACUAUCAAUCAACUUAACACUAUAAUUACCAACAAAUCCUUAAUACUAUAAAUAAUUAAAUUAUUGGGGUUUUAAAAUAACUCUCCAAACUUUGCAUGAUUUCUUUAUAUGUAGGUGCCAUGGUUCCUAUAAGUAAUAUCAGCCACACUUUUUGUUAUUGUUAAAACAAAUUUAUAAGUACAAUUUGUGAAUUUGUACAAAAUGUGGUAUUAUACAUUUGAAGCAUGAACCGAGAAGACAAUGUUGUGUCACUAAUAAAGAAAAAAAAAUUGUAUAAAAUACAGAUGUUGUAGUGUAACUUGUAUUCUUUUUAUUUAUAAUUGUACCUAUCAUGUGAUUAUAAAAAAAACUGAGAUUUUAAAAUUUUGUAAUUGCACUAUUUUUGGAUUAUCAGAAGGCUUCCUCUCCUUAGUGAUGCCCUUAAUCCAUAAAUGGUCCAAAAAAUAAUUCAUGAAAUGAAUUUAUUAUUUUAGAUAAGUUUCAAGUACGCAUACCUUUACUAGCUCCAUAUUGCAUAACUCCUCAUUUCAAUCAAUGGAUACAUUUGUUUACUUUUUCUUUCUUGUAAAUUUUUGAAUGGCCACAAUUCUAUAGAUAAUUAAUUAAGUGUUAUUGUUAUCAUUAUUUUGUAGAUUUAUAUGUGAGGUGGGGACGUUGGGGGGCAUGUAUCUCAAUAUAGCAGAGGGCCAUAAUAUUUAUUCUUUAAGAGGAACCACAACCAACAUCAAUGCUUUAAGUUCCAUUCCAUGUUCCUUCUAUGCACCAGAUUGCAUAAACAACAUUGAUUAUCCAAGGUCAAAGUCUCUCAAAGACUCUAGUUACAAUACAAAGCAUGGGUUAGCGGCCAAAAUUUUCUUGCAAUGAAAGGCUCGUAAACUGAUGAUAGCUGUUGGAUGGUUUUGGGCCCCAAUGGUUUUAAUAUUAUUCUCUUAAAAACAUAUAUGUUGAUUAGAGACGAGAGGAAAAAUAUAAUCUGAUUCAGCAAGCUGCAGAGGAAAGAGCACGCAGUGGAGUUCAGAUUUUGAAUUCUCUUGUUAAAUUGUUUUUAAUUUACUACAAGGUAGAAUACGUUGCAGUGUUAAAAAAACACUUUGAACAUCCUAUUUUUGUAUUACAAAUAUACCAAGAUUUAAAUUAUUAUUUUUCUUUAUUAGUAUAAACUAAAUUUUGCCUGAAUUCUCAUCCUUGUAAGUGGAAUUUUAUUGUGAAACUAAUAGUCAUUCCUAGUUGAACUAUCACUUUGAACAUAUGUGUCCUCUCUAAUAACAGCUUCCAAACCUGCAGCUACCUGCUUCUCAGCAUUAGAAGUAGCCAUAAUUAGGAGGAGGGCAAACUUCCAAAUAACAUUCCAAAUGGUAUUGUGAAAAAAUUUCACCCUUUUGGUAAUAAAAAAUAACCUUAUUUCUAACUUUCUAUUAACAAUCUUACCACAAAGUUCUCUCUCAAGUAGAAACAUUAUAUAUAUAUAUUAAUUUUUUGUUAAAAUAAACAAAACCAGUGGCGGAUCUACAGCUGGGCUAGGUCUAGAAAAAAUCAUUUAAACCCCUUGUCUUUUGAUUCAUUUUACAUAAGGAUAGACUUUUUAUUUUAUUUUUAUAUAAGUCCCCAAUUCAGUUACAAUUAUGUUUUUGUCAAAUUUCAUAGAAUAAUAGAGUUUUUACUUUAUUUUCAAAUAUUUCCUUAACUCAAUUAUAUUUUUUUCCCAACUGAAAUUAAUGACUUAUUUUAUAAAAUAAUUAAAUUAUAUAUUUAUUGAAUAGAUUGAAAACAUUAGGGGUUUAAAAUGUUAUUUUUAAUUUGUUUUUAAAAAAUUUAAUUUAACAAAGUAUGUGAAUGUAAUAUAACAUCGUCACUAUUAUUAAAAAUACUAAAAACAUAUAUAAUAAAAAUUAUUCAUAAAUUCAUAAAUUUUUUAUGUAAAUGUUAACAUUUUAUUUAUUAUUUACAUUAACUUAGAGGAUAAGUUAGAAAGUAAAAUUUGAGUAUUUUAAUCUGAUUUUUUAAAGAGAGUCAGAGUGUCUGGCAAAGAAAUAACGGCACGCAAGUACCUUUUUGCUAGGUUAGAGUUUAGUUUAUUAUUGAAACUCUUGACGACUAAUAUUUUUAUAAUUUAAAAAGAUGAAUAGAUUUUAAUUGUUUAAUUUAUUUAAGCUUGGUAACUAAGGUGGCAUUUGUUUUUUAACUUAAUGACUUAAAGUGACUUAACUUAAUUAAUUAAGUUAAUUAGAAGUGUUUGUUUUUAUAACUUAGACUUUUUAGAUAAUUUUGACUUAAUAAAAUAAGUCAAUUUUUUUGGCUUUUUACUUAAUGGAGAAAUUUGAAUUAAGUCAAUUACUUACUAAUGUCAAAAAUAUCCAUGUUUUAUAAUUUAUUUUUCAUAUCUAUCCCAAAACUCACCCAUAGAACAUUUACCCCACAUAAAAAUAUCCUUAUUUUUUAUUUCUUAUAUUAUAUACGAUAAAAUUUGAAAUUUAUGGUAUUUUAUAUAUUGAAAUUCUAAAAUAAUUAUGUAUUCACUUGAAUAUAGUUUUACUUAUAAAUGUUAAAAUAUUGUGGUAUUUAAUAUAUUAUUUAUUUGACAUUCAAAUUUAAUAAGGAUACGAAUGUAAAAGUACAUAUUUUUAGCUUUUUCAGUUGAAAAAAACAAACAACUCAAUACUUAUUUUCCGAGAUUCAAACGAAAAAACAAACAUAUUAUUCAGAUUCAGACAUACAGAUCUAUUCAGAAUUCAGACUAAUUCAGGUCUAUUCAGAUUUCAGACAAAAAAACAAACGCCACCUAAGUAUUUUUCAAACAUAAAGUUGUACUUGCACUUUUUAAAUGAUUAUAAUUACAUUUAUUGACUUAUUCUAAUUUAAAAUUCUUAAUAGAUUUAUUAAUUCUUAUAUAAUUAGAUGUUAUUAUAGGUUGCAAUGUUAGAUUUAAUAAUUAAAAAUAGUAUUUUUAUAUUUGAAUUAUCUUUUGUUUUUUAGUAUUUUUGUACAAUUAUUUUUGUUUAGAGUAUAUAUUCGUAGAGUUUUUCGUGUCCCCAUUAUUUGAUGUACUUCUUUUUACUUAUGAAUAUUUAUGUUCACUUCAAAAUAUAAAAUUUUAAAUUUAGCCCGGGGUAAUAUAAAUUCUUAGGUCCGCCCCUAAGCAAAACUAAAUAUUUAUGACUUAAAAGAUAGGUGUUGAACAGAGGCAGUCUCACAGAAAAAAAAAAAAAAAGUAUUUGAAAGCAGUGGUGAUAUCAUAAUUUUUUGUAUUGAUAUGAGAGUAUCAUACUAGAUUUUUUUCCGCAAUACAAAAAGUUUGUAUUCAAGAAUAAAUAAGCAAUUUCGGGAACAAAUUUUACAAAAAGCCUCGAGGCCAUGUCGUAUGAAUUUGUGAUACCAAAAAUAGUAUACUAGUCAAUAUAUCUUCUUUCCACAUUACAAAAAAUUAGAAAUGCAAUCUAAAUCGAUAUCAAUUAAUAAUUUUAUAGUACACGAAAUCAAGGUAUUUUUUCAUAAUUUAAGAAAUUAUUAGUCAUUUACCCUAAAUUUACUUUGUCUCCAAAAAUACUACGAAAACUUUAACUUGUUUAGUUUUUUACCUUAAUUUAUAAUUUAUAUCAAUCGCUCACUAAAAAGAUAAAAUUAGCUCAUAAAAUGACAAAAUAAAAACAAACACAAAUGACAAUACCAGUAAUUUUAUAAGGAUAAUAAAGUCCUUUUGGCACCAAAUUACGUAUUAAAAUAAUUUAAAUAUUAUAAAUUAUUUUCAGAUUGAGUGAGGAACCCUGGUCAUUUUAACAAUUAUGGUCAUUUAAUCUAUCUAAACAUGAUAUUUCAAGUAGACUUAUGUUUGCGUGGGAGGAUAAUGUAAAAAAAGUGGCACUUUUAUUCAACUGAAUAAAUUUCACAAUUUAAAUUAGAAAAGGAUAAAAUUUAAUAAUUAACUAUUUUUUUAACUAAUUCAAUCGGGAGCCAUUAUUUGUAGGCUGUAGCGGUCCCAAAAGCAUGACAUUAUUGUGAGUAAUGUAUCCUACUUGCAAAAUAAACGGCAGAAUGCGGUUUGGGGACGGAUUAUCGAGGUAUUUGUUAAUAUUCGGAAAUGAGAAGAAAAGGUCAAAUAAAAUUUUAACUUAUUAUUAUUAUUAUUAAAGAUUGUAACUCAGAUGAUUAGACAAAUAAAGGAACUUAAGGCCACUUGGCGGCUUCACUAGGAGCUGUUUGAGUUUAAUUCUAUUGGUAAAAUUCUAUUUUGGUAAUUCUAUUCUUCUUCUUUUCAACCCCAAAUAAUCAAAAGCUCUCCAAUGGCUUUCGUAUCCACAACUCGUCCAUUUCAUUUUACUUCAAUUUCAGUAUCAGCUCUUAGAUGUAAUUUCUCAUCUUCGUUCCCUCAUACCAGAAAACCCACAUCUUCAAUUUCGGAAAAUGAACCCUCAUAUCCGACUACAACAGCUAAACUGAAGGAGUCGCUACGACUGACAGUCAAAGACGGAGCCUCACUCGAAAAAUUUCUUAAAGAAAGGUGCAAAUCAUCAGGUCAAGGUGAUAUUAAUCUUAUUACUCCUAAUGAAGCCUUGUGUAUCUUUGAUUACAUGCUCCGUAUGCACCCUUCUCCGCCUCCUGUCUCUUCCUUCAAUAUUUUGUUUGGUUGUCUUGCUAAGAAUAAACAUUAUGAUACUGUCCUUUCACUCUUCAAGAGACUCAAUUCAAUUGGGUUGUUUCCAGAUCUUUAUACUUAUAGUAUCUUGAUUAACUGCUUUUGCAAAAUGGGUCGAGUUUCUCCUGGUUUUGUUGUUCUUGGGAGAAUCCUCAGGUCUUGUUUUACUCCAAAUGCUGUGACCUUUACUUCUUUGAUUAAAGGUUUGUGUGCGGAGGGUAGAAUCAUGGAGGCCGCUGCAUUGUUUAUGAAACUUAGAGUGUUUGGUUGUGAGCCUAAUGUUUUUACAUACAAUACUUUGAUUAAUGGAUUGUGUCGAACUGGCCAUACAAUUGUUGCUCUAAAUUUAUUUGAAGAGAUGGCUAAUGGAAAUGGGGAAUUUGGUGUUGUUUGUAAGCCAAACACUGUUACAUACACUACUAUUAUCGAUGGUCUUUGUAAGGAAGGUUUUGUGGACAAGGCCAAGGAACUGUUUCUGAAGAUGAAGGAUGAGAAUAUUAACCCCAAUGUGGUUACUUAUAACUCUUUGAUUCACGGUUUUUGUUACGCUAAUGAUUGGAAUGAGGCGAAGUGUUUGUUUAUUGAGAUGAUGGACCAAGGGGUACAGCCGAAUGUUGUGUCUUUUAAUGUGAUCAUGAAUGAGCUUUGUAAAAAUGGGAAGAUGGACGAAGCAAGUAGGCUGUUAGAAUUGAUGAUUCAGAUUGGUGUGCGUCCAAAUGCUUUUGUCUAUAACACAUUAAUGGACGGGUUUUGUUUGACAGGUAGAGUUAAUCGUGCGAAGGAACUAUUUGUUUCUAUGGAGAGUAUGGGUUGCAAACAUAAUGUUUUUAGUUACAGUAUUUUGAUAAAUGGUUACUGCAAGAAUAAGGAAAUAGAGGGAGCGUUAAGCCUUUAUAGCGAAAUGCUCUCUAAAGGUAUUAAGCCAGAUGUUGUUAUAUAUAACACCUUGUUUAUUGGCCUUUUUGAAAUACACCAGGUUGAGCGUGCUUUCAAGCUGUUUGAUGAGAUGCAACGUCAUGGCGUGGCAGCUGAUACCUGGGCGUAUAGAACCUUUAUUGAUGGGCUCUGCAAGAAUGGUUAUAUUGUAGAGGCAGUUGAACUAUUUCGUACUUUGAGAAUUCUCAAGUAUGAACUUGAUAUUCGAGCCUACAACUGCCUCAUUGAUGGAUUAUGUAAAUCCGGCAGACUCAAAAUUGCAUGGGAACUAUUUCGUAGUUUGCCUCGUGGAGUCCUAAUAGCAGAUGUUGUAACAUAUAACAUCAUGAUCCACGCGCUUUGUGCUGAUGGAAAAAUGGACAAGGCACGUGAUUUGUUUCUGGAUAUGGAAGCAAAAGGUGUAGCACCCAAUUGUGUCACAUUUAACACGCUGAUGCUAAGUUGCAUCCGCAAUAAUGAGACAUCAAAAGUUGUUGAACUCCUUCACAGAAUGGAUGAGAGAAAUGUAAUACCAGAUGCAUCUACACUUUCAAUUGUUGUGGACUUACUUGUAAAGAAUGAAAUUAGCUUAAACUCGAUUCCACAAUUCAAGAGUCAAAGGUAAGUGAGUUUAAUAUUGAUUUAGUCGCAUGUUUCUUCUGCCUGAAAACCCGAUCUGGAGGAUCCCAUUCUUAUUAACACAUGUAAAGGAGUGUUGUCUAAUGUUGGCAUGUUCCUAGGUUCUGUCCAUGGAUUCUGUUUGCGGACAUGGCUAACUUCUUGUCCAACAGAUAAGUUUUAAAGUCUUUCAACUUUAUGUUGUAAAAUAACAUUUUUAUUAUUCAAUUCAUGAGUUUUCCUUCUGUAUCACAUACUUCUCAUUAGCUGGAAGCGCAAAUUUUUUAGGCUUUUCCUGUAUGGCCUCUUUUUCUGCUCUAAAUAAAAUGGCAUUUUAUUUCUCUCUUGUGAGGGUACAAGGUUUAUGUUUAAACUUUCUGUUAGUUAAUUUGGUUGUCUUUGAUAUAGGGAACUUCCAGUUGAACUGAUUUGUAAUUCGAGUAUAUGAGAUUACCAACUGUAUUGGGAAUUGAUGCCAAAUUAAUUAUGUCAUCAGGUUUUUCAAUCAGUGUUCAUCAUUUAUUUCUGUUAACAAUUAAUAGCACAGCUUGACUUCUCAGCUUCAUUGGUUCCUCUCAAAAAUAAUCUUGUAAAGACAAUCUUUCUUGGGCAUGGAAAAUGCUAGAUUGUUACAUGGCAUUCAAUUGAAUGAGGACUCAUGAUUGUGUGUAUUGGUAUUUGUUAUACUAUGUAUUGGCAAGACAAAGUUUCUUGAAACUGACAAACUUUUCUCUAUGAAGAUUGAAGAAAAUAUGAUAAGAUAAAAUUUAUCAAAAGCAUAUAUGCUUGCCAGGGAUGGACCUUUGAUUAUUAGUCCUCGCCUUUCGUGCUUGUCUGUUCUGUGAAAUAAUUCAUUCUCCAUGCUGCUAGGGCCUAGGCUUAUGACUCUUCUUUGAAAUAAUUCAUUCCCCACAAUGUGAAAAAAAUGCUUGAAACACGACACAGACUUAACUGUUUACAGGAAAAGCGGCAGAAACUUGUGAAAUUACCGAUUAAAAAGUACCUACCAUGAGGAAGAUGCUAUACAACUCACUCGGAAAAUGUAAAAUGGUUAACAGACAUCCAAGAUGAUCAACCAGAAACACAAUUCAGAACAUGGGCUGCUUUUGGUUACCCGGCUUUCAGAUUAGGAGAUUAGGAUCCUAAAUGCUUUGAUCUACCUGAAAAGUAUACAAAUAUCAGAGUUAAAACAGAGCAGAUGAAAACGUAUUGAUGAACUCAACUGAGAUAAAUGACAAGAAAACUAACUUUUCCUGUACAAAACUCGCACACCUUCCUUUAAGAGCUGACUUUCCAAGAAGAGAUCACCACAAUCGUUCACAUCAACAGUCUCCACUUGAAAAUUUUUAUAACCACAAUAGUCAUUCCAUUCAAACCACAUCCUUGAGAUCAGUUCCUUCUUCAAGCAAGUAGGAUGGUCUUCCUCUUGAGGAGGCUCAGCAGCAACCAAUCUAUAUGCAUAAACUUUCUUUGUUUGGCCUGGCCGGAAAGGCCUGCCGAUUGCUUGGCGGGUUUCUGAUGGAGUAAAGGUAACAUCCAGAAUAAUGAUCCAAAUUUUUGUGGACUUACAUGCAAAGAAUGAAAUUGGUUUAAACUCGAUUCCACAAUUCAAGAGUUAAUGAGUUUAUCUUGAUUCUGUAGCAUGUCUCUUCUGCUUUAAAACCAGAUCUGGGGAAUCCCAUUCUCAUUACAACAUGUGAAGGAGUGUUUGUGUAUUGUUGGCAUGUUCCCAGGUUCUGUUCACGGAUUCUGUUUGCAGACAUGGCUAACUCCUCGUUUCAUCAGAUAAGUUUCAAAGUCUGGCAACUUUUUGUUGUAAAAAUAACUAUUUCAUUAUUCAAUUCAUGAGUUUUCCUUCUAUGGUGCAUUUUUCUCAUUAGCUGUAGUUUCAAAAUUCGAGCGAAUUUGAAGAAACUGCAAAAGACUACAAAGCAAAUGGUGUAGAGCACCUUUCACUUAUCACGGGCACAGGAUUACUCUGACUUUCUGCAUUUUACUGUUGGCUAUGGUUUGAUGCAUUAUUUAUUGUUCUGAAAUACCAUUCUCGUUGGAAGUUCAAUCAUUACUGUUUCUUUUUUCCCCCCUUUUUACUUGAAGUUACCUGAAGCUCCAAUCGAACGAGUAAUGUAAUGUAGGUGUUGACCAACUCCAAAUAAGUAGUUAGUUGCCUAGUAGUUGCUUUGCAUGAAAUAUGUUUUUGGUAUGAAUAAUGUUGUCUUAAUUUUACAAGCUUCCAUGGAACUCCUAAUUUGUUGGAAGUAUUAACUCAACCCGUCAUUUAAGGUUAGAUUUAACCAUUGACUUAUGUUGACUAUUAAAAGUAUUAUAAUAUUCUAUAAAUAUAACGAAACCCCCCUUUAUUAACAAAUAUAAUUUAAAAUAUAAAAAAUUAAUAAUAAAAAAUAACAAAGUUGAAAUCCAAGGAGCAACUUCUAUCCCCUAACCAAGUUAUUAAAUAUUAGAGUAGAUAGAGGCAUAUACUUUUCUUCAUGAUUCAGAAUCAUAUCUCAAAUAAAAUUCUCAAUGAUUGCAGGCCUCAAUACCAUUAAGAUGAACUAGACUAUCAUGAAAUUUUGUGCAUCUUGCAAGGUCCAAUUUCUCCAAGUUUAUCAUCAAGCCAAAAAAUGUCAUAAUUCCUUUUAUAGUAAUUUCAUAGUGUUUACUAAACGGUAAUAGAAAUGGACUGAAACACAAAUAGGGAAUGCAAGUUAGAAUAAGGAUGGCAAUGGUGAGGGGGGAGGGGACCAACAUCCUUGUACCCAUCCCUGAUGUUCUGUAUAUGUCCCCAUCCCCUUCCCGUCCCCAUCAAAAUUACUUAAGGGAAUUCACGUCCUCCCUCUGAAUAAUAACAGGGAAUCCCCAAAGGUCCCCGAUCCCCAAAUAACUGAUAUAUUUGUUUAGUUUUCAAACUUAAUUUAAUCAUAUUAAGCUAAAAAUAUAUAAAAUAAAAUGAAAAUGAUCAUGAAUGCGCCUUAUAUUUCAUUCAACUUGGUAUAUAUAAUAUUCAAAUAAUGAUUUUCAAAAAAAAAUUCAAAUAAUGUGAUUUUUAUACAAUAUUGACGUGAUUGUUGUCCAUGAGUAACGAUACCUACUGAUCACCGACUAUGAUGCAACAAAGCCGCAUGUGUGGCUGCUAGUUGACAUUGCGAUGAGUUAGUGUAACCCCCACUUUUAUUUAUUUAUUUUUUUCCUCUUUUGCCCUUAUUAAACUGAGUAGGAUAGUUAUUAUUGAGUGUUUGUGUGUGAGUAAAAUUUAUCGGAUUGUUUUAAAUAAGUUACGUAAGUUAUUUUUUUUAAAAAAAAAUAUUUAUUAAUUACCAAGUAUUUAAGAGAAAACCAUAUUUUUAAGAAGCCGUUUUUUAUUUUUCUUACACCGUUACAAACCCUAGAAAGAAAAGAAAGAAAUAUAAGUCUUUGCAAAAGGAAAAGAAAGUUUUAUCACUUCUUUUCUUAGUGUUUGCUUUAAGGUAUUAAGUAUUUCUUCGACUUAUAUGAUUUAUUUUUAUGAAAUUGUUUGCAUUUAAUUACUUGUAGUAUGAAUUGGGUAAUAUAUGUGUUUGUAAUGUUGUGAUGAUAUGAACAGUCUCUAUUCCUUGCUUGAAAUCGUUUUCUUUAUUUAGAAUCACGUGAAUAUCUUACAUAUCAUGGAACUAGACAUCCUAGGCUUUCCAUUGAUAGGUUUUGUGUUGAAAUCGCCUGAGAAUGCAAAUUCUUAUGGGUUUUCGAAGUUGGGUUACUGGUGCUGGAAAAUUCCGAUUUUCAGCAGCGGUUCUCAACUCUGGAAAUUUUUCUAUAAGGUUACACAUCCUUAAAAAUUAUGCUGAUUUUUGUGCCAACAGAUCUAUGUCUCCUAUGCUUGCAUGUUUAAUUUCGUAGUUUUAUUCUUUAUGGUUGAAUUAUUAAAAAUCGUAACAUAUGGCUGCUGCAAAUCUGGAGACUGUUAUCCAGAAUUUCAGAAGCUGAAACGUGUAACAGUUGAGCUAGUUUAUGAAUAUUACAUGCCAUGUUAGGAUUUUAUAAUGAAAUUUCAAUCUUUCCUCUGUCUUUAAAAACUGGAAUCGCGAUUUUUGGGGAUGUAAAAUAAAAGAUACGAAUUUUUGAAAUUCUGUUUUCAAAUCUGGAAUUUUCUGGACGGGUUAGAUGUUCUCGGAAAUAAAACGUUUUAAAAUAGUCUCAGGAGUCCAAAAAUUAUGAAUUUUAAUUAUAUGCUUUUUGAAUGUGUCUUCUGUAAUUAGAAAAAAAGAUAGCAUAUUACUUCGAGUACCAAAGAAUAUUUUAUGAAUUUUCUAAGUGGAAAAGGUCUGUUUUGGUCAGUGCUGGACAGUUUUGUUACUUUGGUGAAAGGUCAAUAUUCUGACUCGAUUUUGACUUGUGCUGAUUUUUGUGAAAUAUUGUAUGCAAUGCUAUACAUGUUCACAGUGCCUCUGUAAAUUUUCAUGGUUUUCCGACAUGUGUAUAGGUUAUUAAAAAUCAUCAUGUGCAGGAUACUCAUAAGUAUAGGAUAUGUUUAGAAUAUGUAUAAGUAUUAAGCUAGUAUUAGUGUCUAUGAUUUAAGGAUGAUUGGGAUUAUAUUUAAGGUUAGAGAUGAUAUUGAUAAGAAUAUUUUUAUGAUGAUUAUAGGACGUGGGUGAGCUCGUUGGUUGUUCUUGAGGUUUUGAAUUGAUUGCUACGGAUCGAGAUAAGUAGAUUCAUGCAUGAUGUGCUUUAUAAUAAAUGCAAUUUAUGUUACAAAAAUUAUGUUUAAAUGGAAAUUUUUACAAAACUGAUUUCUAAAAUAUUUAAAUGAAUUUUGUAAAAUAAAAACACUUUUAAAUGAAUUUAUAUAAAUGAAUUUUAAAAUGAAUUUUUCUUAAGAAAUGAGUUUUCUUAAACAAAAUAUUUUCUUAAAGAAUUUUCUAAAAGAAUUAAAUGAUCAAAGAAAGGUUCUUAAAUGUUUUAGAAAACUUUAAAAGCUAUUUAUGAAAGGAUGUAAGGUGGAUUCAAAAUGUUUUGGCUUAUAGUCCGUAGUAAUGUAUACAAUGGAAAUGUUAUGAUGUUAUGUAAUAUUAUGGUCAGCUUGCUGGUACGAUGAUGGUCUUGUGCACAAGGAUGUUAUGAACAAUGUGGGACAUAGUACCCUAAAUGAGGAACAAUGCGGGGUAUAACACCCUAAAUGAUGAAUGAUGAUGAUUAUGAGGCAUGAGCUACCAAUGUUUACGCUUUAAUGUUUUCAUAAAUGUUUUAAUGUUUUUAUAUGAAUCCACCCCUUAUGUUAAAUGAAGAUGUUGUUAUAAAAUGUUUAAAGGUAUAUGACAAAGGUUUUCAAAUAUUGUGCAUGGAUUUGAUUACCGAGUUGACGGCUCACCCCUCGUCUCCAAUAUUUUACAGAUUGAUUAGAGAUAUGGCUUGGGUUCUUAGACGGAGAAUUUUUCUUAGUGGAUCUUUAGAGUUGUUUUAAAGAUUAAAUUUGGCUAGACUUCCUAUUUUGCAUUAGAGACUUUUCUUUGGAGACCUUAUUUCAUAUGUUUUAUGUAAGGAUUCAGUUGGAGUAUGAAUAAUUAUUGUUUAUCUUGAGAUUUAUUAAUAAGAAUAAAUGAUGUGAGGUUUCAUUCCAAUUUUACCCUUGUGUUUUCAUGAGUAAUUUUUGGGGUGUUACAGUUAGGCUACUCGGACACCGACAACGCAAUGUGCUACUGGGCUAUGAUGAGAUGAAGACGAGUUGCGUGCUUACUACUGCAUGAAUAAUUUGGAAAUUAUGAGCAAGACUGUGAGAAAGUGAUUUAGAGUUUGAUUUGUGAGUUAUGAGCUUGUGGGAUUGUGUGCUUUUGGUUGUAAUUAAGUCUAAAUUAUAUUAAACAUUUUAUAUUAACUAAUAUUUGUAUUAUUUGUAUAAAUAUUUUGAUAUUUGUUAUUUACACCAAUAUUUUAUAUUUUACAAUUUAAAAUUUAUUAUUUAUUGACUAAUAAUUCUAAAAAAAUAAAAAUAAAAUAAAAUAUUAAAAUAGGGAAAUGGGGAGGGGACGGGGAUUCCACCUCAUCCCCAUCCCUUCCCUGAAUAAGUAAUUGGGUAAAAAAUCGUCUUCGUCCCUUCCCCGAAUAAGAAGUUUGGCAUAAAAUCGUCCAUGUACCCUCCCCAAAUAGGAAAAAUCCCCAAGGGCCCCCAUCCCCAUGGGGAUUCCUGCCAUUUCUAAAUUAGAAUAAAUUAUUUACUUGAACUGUAGGAAUCAGAAUAAAAAUAAGCUGGAUUGUCAUUGAUGUGUCUAUUUUGUCUUGGAAUUGAAAUCAAAAUGAGUUACAUUUUAACAACUUACUAAAAAGUGCUUAAUGAGCUAUUGUCAUAAUUAUUAUUUUAUAUUUUAAUUAUGGUAAUUAUUUAUUCAAAAAUUAUAAUAAUUAUUAUUGUUAAUAAUAUAUUCAUAUAUUAAUUAAUUGAAAAUUAUUUAAAUUAAUUAAUUAUUAAUAUAUUAAUUGAUUAAUUAUAAUAAUACAUUAAUUAAUUAUAACUGAGGACAAAAUAAAUAUUUUUUAUUUUGUGAGGGGGCAAAAUGGUCAUUCCAAGGAAUGGGAGACUAAUUCCCGCCUCCCUUGGGAAUUAAUCUUCCAUUUGCCAUUCCCAAAUUGCGGUGGACUCAACGAUUUCAAUUCCGAUUCUUGACUCUAUUUUGUGAAGUAAAUGCUCUCAAUAAUUUCGAUUCCUCAAUCCGAAGAAGUAAACGCACAGUUACUGUUUCUUCUAAAGCUCAAACUUGUCAGGUUUGAGAGACCUGAUAGAUACUUCAGUCAUGCAUCUACUUCAUCAUAAGACAAACUGAAAGUUAGAAAUAAAAGGGACAACUCAAGGAAAAUGCACACAAGUGAGGUUUCAAAAUUAAAAUAGACACUUCAGCUGCAAAUCAGCAUACACAUACAAUGGAGGUCAUACAAAUAUCAUUUCUACAACCGCCCUACUGUAUUCUUGAAUGAAGAUGGUUUAAAGUCAAGUAAUAAGAUAUUUAAACUUAAGACAGAACAAUACAAUUAAAUUUGCUGGAACUUAUGAGUAACUUACUCUCAUCUCUCCUCCUAAUUUAAUUGGACAGGCGUAAAUUUUCCAUGUUAAUAUGGAUGAAGUAAAUUUUCUUUUUGUAAUAUAUCUAUGCAUUAAAAAAAAUUAAUAAUAAUAACUUUUACAAGCAUUUAUGCUUGUAUUAAUACUCUACUUUUUACUACACGAUUGCUUCAGUAUAUGGUGGAUGUUAAGAUAACAAUAAUAAUAGAAUUACAAAUACUUGCAUACUAUUAACUAACUUAACACUAUAAUAUUGUUUACGGUGUAAGCACUCGAGGUGAUGUUAAUAUGCCAAAGAUUUAAAAAUAUUAGUUCUAGCUUUUGAAGAAAAAUAUACUUUUAGUCAGAAGGGAAAAAAAAGCUUUCUAACAAGAUAUCAAAAUGGUUAAUAAGAAGAGCAGUAGUAAUGGGGUAAAAGCUCGUUUAGUCCCUAUAUUUUGAGGUUAGUACUUGUUUAGUCCCUAUAUUUUUAAAAAUGCUUUAAAACAUCUUUGUCGUUAAAUUAUUGACACCCCUGUCUUUACUUUGUAUUCCUUUUAGCUUACUUUUACAAUAUUACCAUUUUUGCAAUAUUGUUUAAUUUUUUGGACAUUAAUAAUAAAUAAAAUUACCAAUUUAACCCCAAAAAUAAAAUAAAGACAAAGAAAAUAUAUAUUAAUCUUUGUCGAAACUAUGUCAAAAAAAUAAAUAUUGUAAAAAAAAUUUAACUACUAAUUUUUUAGACAUUAAUAAAAAAAUUAAUAUAUUAAUUCCUCGUGGAGUAUUCAAAAAAAUUAAUAUAGAUUUUUUUUUGUUUCUAUUUUACUUUUUUGGGUUAAAUUGAUAAUUUGAUUUUUCUUGUUAUUAAUGUGCAAUAAAGAAUAAAUAUUAUUGUACGGGGGUAAUAUUGUAAAAGUAAGUUAAAAAGAACAAAAAAUAACGGUAAGGGUGUCAAUAUUUAACGAUAAGGAUGUUUUAAGGCAUUUUUAAAAAUAUAGAGACUAAAUAGGUAUUAAUCUCAAAAUAUAAGGAUUAAACGAGAUUUUACCCUUAAUAAUGUUACGAGGGGGUUCAAAUGGAGGGGGAUGGGUAUUUCCAAAUUUGUAUCCAUUAAUUUUUUUAAAACUCAUAUCUGUCACUUGUUAUUAUUUUAAAGGAAAUUAUCAGUCAUAUACCUUAAGUUGACAAAACACUUCUACCGUCCACCAUUCCUUUAACUUCCAUUUGCAAGCGUUGACAUCAUAAGGGUAAUUUAGUCUUUUAAGACUGACGAAACUUUGAUAAAAAAAACGGCAUGUCAUCCCAUUUACCGAAUAAAAAAUGACAUGUCAUAUGAUAUAUAUUGAUAAAAAUAACAUGUCAUUCCACUUAUCGGUUAAUUGUUAAUAAUUGCUAAAAAAAACUAUUUUACAACUGAAUCUACUCCUCCAAAAUUUAACUUAAAUUUUUGAAGAUCUACUCCUCCAAGCUCCAACUUGAAAUUUUUAUGGUAUAAUAUGUAUAAUUGUAAAUAAUAUGUUGUUAAUAAUUUUUUAUGGUAUAAUAUGGAUAUUUUUUAUGGAUAAUUGUUAAUACUAUGUACCAUUAAUAAUUCAUUUUUUAAUCAAAAAAUGUAUUGGUAAUAACAAAAUAAAAAAAAUUAUGUAUUGAAAAUUUACGUUAAUUUUUGGGAUAAAUUUAUUUUUUUACCUCAUUUUGAGUUUUAAGGGCAAAAUAGUCAAUUUACCACAAUUCUGUUAACUUUCUAACAGAAGUUAAUAGAAUGGUGGACGGCAGAAGUAUUUUGUCAACUUAGGGUAUACGAGUAAUACACUUGAAAAGUAUUCACACACGUUUGAUACGGGUAUCAUUUAAGGGUAUAUAGCUGAUAAUUUCCCUUAUUUUAAAUAUCAAACUUGUCAACCCUUAGGGGAAACAAGUAUUUAACGGACUUUGUGCGGCUAAUUCUCAUCAUUCGCUACUCUAAAUUUUAUUUUACAGAUUUGUGCAUCAUUUAUAACAUUUAAUUAAAUACACUUAAAUUAUAUAGAUUCAACGGUUCAACCUUCAUAUAUCACAUGAAAAGAAUACUGAAUUUUUAACAUCUCUCAUCAAGAGAUUGUACUGUGCUUACUCAAUUAGAUACUAAGGUGGCGUUUUUUUUUUAACUUAAUGACUUAAAGUGACUUAACUUAAUUAAUUAAGUUAAUUAGAGGUGUUUGUUUUUAUAACUUAAUGAGACUUUGUAGAUAAUUUUGACUUAAUAAAAUAAGCUAAUUUUUUUUGCUUUUUACUUAAUGGAGAAAUUUGAAUUAAGUCAAUUACUUACUAAUGUAAAAAAUAUUCAUGUUUUAUAAUUUAUUUUUCAUGUCUAUCCCAAAACUCACCUAUAGACAUUUACUCCACAUAAAAAUAUCCAUGUUUUUUCUUUCUUAUAUUAUAUACGAUAAAAUUUAAAAUUUAUGGUAUUUUAUAUAUUAAAAUUCUAAAAUAAUUAUGUAUUCACUUCAAUAUAGUUUUACUUAUAAAUGUUAAAAUAUUGUGGUAUUUAAUAUAUUAUUUAUUUGACAUUCAAAUUUGAUAUGGAUACAAAUGUAAAAGUACAUAUUUUCAGUUUUUUCAGUUGAAAAAAACAAACAACUUAAUACUUAUUUUCCGAGAUUCAGAUGAAAAAAUAAACAUAUUAUUUAGAUUCAGACAUUCAAAUCUAUUCAGAAUUCAGACUAAUUCAGGUCUAUUCAGAUUUCAGAUAAAAAAACAAACGACACCUAAGUUUAUACUCCAACUAAUGUGUUAAUAGUAUUUGAAUAAAAAAUGAUAAAACUUAAUAAUUAAUUAUUGCUUAAGUCAAUUAAAUAGUAUCAUAUCAUUUGUUAAAAAAAAAAAAAAAUCUUUGUUGUUUCAAGAUUAUUAAUCCUUUUUCAUUUACUUAUUAUCAUUACUAUCUGCAACAAUCAUAAUGAUUUGCAUCAACAUGUGAUUGUUUUUUUGACUCCAAGAACAGCUUGUAAAUGUAAUUUCUCUUCUUCCCCACUCACCCUUGAAAACCCACUAUUUGUGUACUUCCAAAACGAUUUAUUGCUGACCGCCAAAGACCGAUACUCACUGGACAAAUUCCUAAAAGAAAGAUUCAAAUUCCAAUGUCUUAUACCUAUUUGAUUUGCAGUUCUUGUUAUGCUAAUGACUAGAAUGAGGCAAAGUGUUUUUUAAUUGAGAUGAUGGAUCUAAGGGUGCAGCAUGAUGUUGUGAUUUUCCAUGUUGGUCAUAUAUGAGCUUUGUGAAAAUAGAAAGAUAGAAGAAGCAUGUAGGUUUUUAGAAUCGCAUCAAUGGAUGGGUUUUGCUUGACCGAGGGAACUAUUUGUUUCUGUGGAGAAUAAAGGGUGCAGAAAUGAUGUUGCUAAAUACAACAAGUUGAUAAAUGGGUAAUGCAAGAAUAAGGAAGUAGAGGAAGCGUUAGGCCUUUGUAGCGAAAAGCUUUCUAAAAGAAUUCUCCUAGAAUAUGUUGGGGGGAUGGAGCAGCUGCCCCCAUCGCACCCUAAGCCAACAGACUCAAAAUUGGAUGGGAACUUUUUUCAUAGAUUAUUUCACGAACGCCCGAUUCCAAAUAUGUAACAUAUAACAUCAUGAUUCAUGGGCUUUGUAACAAUGGGCAAAUGGAUACGGAAGCAAGGCGUACGACGCCCAGUUGUGUCAUGUUUACUAAGCUUAUGCGAAAGAAUGAGACAUCAAAAGUUAUUGAACUUCCUCACUCAAUGGAUAAGAGAAAUGUAAUGCGGGAUGCAUCUAUACUUGCAACUGUUGUGGACUUUCUUUUAAAGAAUGAUAUCCGUUUAAACUCGAUUCCAGAAUUCAAAAGCCAAAAUUGAAUAUUGAUUUAGUAGCAUGUUUUUCUACCUGCUGAAAUUCGGAUAUGGAGGGUCCGUUUCAUUAUCCCAAAUGUGAAGGAGUGUCACGUUGUGAGGGCAAUGUAAAAUCCUCGCCAUCUGGUUCGGUUCACCAAAGAAACUUCCCCAUUAAUUUCUUGAAAAAGUUGAGUUAAAACUGUGAAUGAAAGAAUCAUGAUGAUCUGUUUUGGUUUGUGAGAUGUUAGAAAGUGGUCAUUGUUUAUUAAGUGGAAAUAAAAAUGAGGGAAUGAGAUUCAUUAAUUUGUUUACUUAUAAAUAGAGGAGGAGAAUUGAGAAUUAAAUUUGUUGGCCUCACAUCAAUUUAUGAAUAACUCUUGGAUUUCUAAUUUCUAAGGGAGAUUUGGAAUCUACAUCUCAUUUACAAUCUACCCAAUUGUAAUAAUUUUCAUUUUGUCAUUCUUUUAAAUAUUUAAAAAAUAAAUAAAAAUCGCAUGAGUACUGUGCAAAGAUGGAUUGUUCUUGUUAUUGUUGAUGUUAUUAUUACUAGCACCGAAUUACAUAUUAUUAAAUUAAUUUAAAUAUUACAAAUUAAAUUAUUUUUAAAUGAGUGAUAAAACCUGAUCAUUUAAUAACCAUGGCCAUUUAACAGAUUUAAACAUAAAAUUUCGUGUCAAAUUAUGUUUGAGUAUAAGGAUAAUGUAAGAUAAUUGGUACUUUAAUUUACAUUUAUGUGCUAACUGAAUAAAGUUCGCUAUUUAAAUUAAAUUAGAAACGGUGAAAUUUAAAAAUUAACUAUUAUUUAGCCAUUUAAACGCAGAGACACAAUUUGUCACGGUUCCAAAAGCAUAGCAUCAUUGAAAGUACCGUAUCCCACUUGUAUUAAUAUUCGGAAGAAUGGAAGGUUCUAUUUUGGUAAUUCUUUUCUUCUUCUUUUUCAACCCCAAACAAUCAAAAGCUCUCCAAUGGCUUUCGUAUCCACAACUCGUCCAUUUCAUUUUACUUCAAUUUCAAUAUCAGCUCUUAGAUGUAAUUUCUCCUCUUCGUUCCCUCAUACCGGAAAACCCAAAUCUUCCAUUUCGAAAAAUGAGCCCUCAGAUCCGACUACAACAGCUAAACUGAAGGAGUCGCUGCGACUGACAGUCAAAGACCGAGCCUCACUCGAAAAAUUCCUCAAAGAAAGGUGCAAAUCAUCCGGUGAAGGUGAUAUUACUUCCAUUACUCCUAAUGAAGCCUUGUGUAUCUUUGAUUACAUGCUCAAUAUGCGCCCUUCUCCGCCUCCUGUCACUUCCUUCAAUCUUUUGUUUGGUUGUCUUUGCUAAGACUAAACAUUAUGAUACUGACCUUUCACUCUUCAAGAGACUCAAUUCCACUUGGUUGUUUCCGGAUCUUUAUACUUGCAACAUAUUGAUUAAUUGCUUUUGCAAAAUGGGUCGAGUUUCUCAUGGUUUUGUUGUUCUUGGGAGAAUCCUCAGGUCUUGUUUUACUCCAGAUGCUGUGACCUUUACUUCUUUGAUUAAAGGUUUGUGUGCGGAGAGUAGAAUCAUGGAGGCCGCCGCAUUGUUUACGAAACUUAGAGUGUUUGGUUGUAAGCCUAAUGUUUUUACAUACAAUACUUUGAUUAAUGGAUUGUGUCGAACUGGCCAUACAAUUGUUGCUCUAAAUUUAUUUGAAGAGAUGGCCAAUGGAAAUGGGGAAUUUGGUGUUGUUUGUAAGCCAGACGCUGUUACAUACACUACUAUUAUAGAUGGUCUUUGUAAGGAAGGUUUUGUGGACAAGGCCAAGGAACUGUUUCUGCAGAUGAAGGAUGAGAAUAUUAACCCAGAUGUGGUUACCUAUAACUCUUUGAUUCACGGUUUUUGUUACGCUAAUGAUUGGAACGAGGCGAAUUGUUUGCUAAUUGAGAUGAUGGACCAAGGGGUACAGCCUAAUGUUGUGACUUUCAAUGUGAUCAUGGAUGAGCUCUGCAAGAAUGGGAAGAUGGAUGAAGCAAGUAGGUUGUUGGACCUGAUGAUUCAGCGUGGUGUGCGUCCAAAUGCUUUUGUCUAUAGCACAUUAAUUGAUGGUUUUUGCUUGACAGGUGAAAUAGAUCGUGCGAGGGAAUUAUUUGUUUCUAUGGAUAUUAACGGGUGCAUGCAUAAUGUUGUUACUUACAACACGUUAAUAAAUGGGUACUGCAAGACUAAGGAUGUAGAGGAAUCUUUAAAUCUAUAUAGUGAAAUGCUUUCUAAAGGAAUUAGGCCAACAGUUGUUACAUAUAACACCUUGUUUCAUGGCCUUUUUGAAAUACACCAGGUUGAGCAUGCUUUAAAAUUGUUUGAUGAGAUGCAGCAUAGUGAUGUGGCAGCUGAGACCUCUACGUAUAAUACCUUUAUUGACGGGCUCUGCAAGAAUGGUUAUAUUGUAGAGGCAGCUGAACUAUUUCGUACUUUGAGAGUACUCAAGUGUGAACUUGGUAUUGAAGCAUACAGCUGCCUCAUUGAUGGAUUGUGUAAAAUAGGCAAACUGGAAACUGCUUGGGAACUGUUUCAAAGUUUGCCUCGUGUAGGCCUAAUGCCAAAUGUUGUAACAUAUAACAUCAUGAUCCAUGGGUUUUGUAAUGAUGGGCAAAUGGACAAGGCACAUGAUUUGUUUCUUGAUAUGGAAGCAAAAGGUGUAGCACCCAAUUGUGUCACAUUUAACACGCUUAUGCUAGGUUGCAUCCGCAAUAAUGAGACAUCAAAAGUUGUUGAACUCCUUCACAGAAUGGAUGAGAGAAAUGUAAUACCAGAUGCAUCUACACUUUCAAUUGUUGUGGACUUACUUGUAAAGAAUGAAAUUAGCUUAAACUCGAUUCCACAAUUCAAGAGUCAAAGUUAAAGUGAGUUUUAUAUUGAUUUAGUCACAUGUUUCUUCUGCCUGAAAACCCGAUCUGGAGGAUCCCAUUCUUAUUACAACAUGUAAAGGAGCGUUGUCUAAUGUUGGCAUGUUCCUAGGUUCUGUCCAUGGAUUCUGUUUGCAGACAUGGCUAACUUCUUGUCCAACAGAUAAGUUUUAAAGUCUUUCAACUUUAUGUUGUAAAAUAACUUUUUUAUUAUUCAAUUCAUGAGUUUUCCUUCUGUAACACAUCCUUCUCAUUAGCUGGAAGUGCAAAUUUUUUAGGCUUUUCCUGUAUGGCCUCUUUUUCUUCUCUAAAUAAAAUGGCAUUUUGUUUCCCUCCUGUGAGGGUACAACGUUUAUGUUCAAACUUUCUGUUAGUUAAGUUGGUUGUCUUUGAUAUAGGGAACUUCCAGUUGAACUGAUUUGUAAUUCGAGUAUAUGAGAUUACCAACUGUAUUGGGAAUUGAUGCCAAAUUAAUUAUGUCAUCAGGUUUUUCAAUCAGCGUUCAUCAUUUAUUUCUAUUAACAAUUAAUAGCACAGCUUGUCUUCUCAGCUUCAUUGCUUCCUCUAAAAAAUAAUCUUGUAAAGACAAUUUUUUUUUUUUUUUUUUUGGCAUGGUAAAUGCUAGAUAGUUUGUGGUCUGAAUGAUACUA
This 58263-nucleotide long non-coding RNA is filed under the name Citrus maxima (pomelo). RNAcentral's name for it is "long non-coding RNA (CMAX_LNC003370)". Lineage: Eukaryota; Viridiplantae; Streptophyta; Magnoliopsida; Sapindales; Rutaceae. The record is from RNAcentral.